UGUGUCAUCAAAUUUGAACCCUCUGCUGAUGGAGGUUCAAUCUGCAAAACCACUAACACAUACUACCCCAAAGGUGGUGCUCAGAUCGGUGAGGAACACCUCAAGGGAGGAAAAGAGAUGGGUUUGGGAAUGGUUAAGGCUGUUGAGGCUUACCUCCAUGCAAAUCCUACUGCCUACAACUAAUUAUAAUGAAUGCUACUGAAGGACUCUUCGACAUAUUUUCUUCAAGAUUGAAGUACACACUGAGGGUGUGUUUCCUUUUUUGCUUGGUUUGCUUUAAGCUGUUUGGUUAAGUUAAAAACAAAAUUGAAUCAUAGAGAGAACAAAAAAAAUAUAGUGUUUCUUAUGGAGAAAAAAAUGGAGCUGAUGCCUAAAAUCUCACAUGGAUCCAACAAGGAUAUGCUCAAAGUUGGAAAAAUGUGCUAUAAUUAUGAUUACUCCUUUAUGAAAUAAAGCUGAAAGCAGCUCAAUUUCUUUUUGUUUUCCAUAUUAUUCAAUUUCGUUGUCGAUUUUUGAUAGUUGUAUUUUUUUUAUUGCUUUAAUAAGGGCUAUGAUUGGAUAUCCUGUUAUGCCAUUGGCUGUCGAUGCUAAACCUGAUAAAUUAGAUGGAUCAUCCAAAUAAAGACAAAAUUGGCUAUGUAAACAUUGGUGAGGGACUAUUUCAGCUUAAGAAAAAUAGUUGAGGGACUAAAUUGGCUUAUAAUAAAAUUAGGGACUACUUCAGCUUUGUAAAAAUAGUUGAGAGACUAAAUUGACUCAUAAAAAGUUUAGGGACUAUUUUGACAUUAACGAAAUAGUUUUGAGACUAUAAACAUUAGGUCACAAUGUUGAAAUAUCAAAACCCAUGUUUGGGACCAAAACUCAUAGAACUUCUUCACGUCGCUAGCGAAAUUUGAUUCUGAAGUAAUGCUAAUUUUAUUUAUUAUUUGUUUCCUUGCUGGUCUUCUGUCUUUUUGGUUACAAUAUUAAAAUGUAUCCAUAAUUUUCAAUUCCAAAAGUGUUGAAUAUUUAAACGAAUUCUAGAAAGGGCACUGAGAGUCAAAAUCUUAUUCAAACAGCCAGCCAUCUCAGAGUACAUAUUUUUUUAUUAUCAGGUUCAAAAUGUAUCUAUUGCAAUUUUUGAAUGAUCAGCCAUGACUAAGAGAAUAAAAUAAUUCACUUGCUGUUUUUAGAUGUGAAUUCAUGACUGUCAGUAGUCUAUAAAUACACUUAUUGCUCACCACUCUUUGCACCGCAAAAUCUUUUCAAGAUCUAUCAAACCCUCCUGUUCUUGAUCUUUGUCCAUUUGUGAAAAAGCAAAUUAAAGCAUCAUGGCCUCUAUCACUUGUAGUGCUGAGAUGACCUCCCCAAUCCCUCCUGCAAGGUUGUUCAAGGCCGCCAUCCUUGAUGACCACCUUCUUCCCAAGAUCAUGCCACAGGCUAUUAAGAGUGGAAAUCCUUGAAGGAGAUGGUGGAGUUUGAACCAUUAAGUUGAGCACAUUUGGUGAAGGUUAGCAGUUAUAUUAAAUGUAGAACCCAAAUUUUAAGGAUCUAAUAAUAAUCAAUGCGUGCAGGGUUACAGAAUUGGAGGGAUAAAAUAAAUACUCAAAAUAUACGUGGAAGAAAAGAAAAUAAUAAAUUCAACUCAUAAUAUUAUUGAAAUUUCAAACAAUGAAGAAAAUCAUACCACAAUAAAUUCAGCUGGUUCUAAUAAUAAUCAAAGCAUACAAGGUUGCAGAAUUAAAAGGAUAAAACAAACACUCAAAAUAUAUGUGGGAGAGAAGAAAAUAAUAAAUUCAACACACAAUAUUACUGAAAUCUCAAACAAUGAAAAAAGUCACACCAUAAUAGAAAACCUUGCUAAUUCUUCUAGAUUCUUUCUCUUGAGAAACCAACCUAAAUAAUGUCCUAUUUAUAAUCUACCAAACUUGUUAGGAAAGAAACCACUUGCAUAAGAAAUUACCAAAUAAAACAGAAAUUCCUAAAUCACACAACUACUAAAAACAUAACUCAAAUAAAACUAAAAAUAAAUAAAUAUUUCUUGGCUUAGUUUAAUUUGUCAACAUUGCCUCCCUUAAACCAAACUAUCCAUUGAGAUAGGUUCAACACCAUCUCGAGCAAUAAUUUCUAUGUUGUAGUACACUUGACAUGAAACUCUAACUUGUUACCAGUUAUUAAUUUCAUUUUUACAUGUAACAAUGGACGCACUAUGUAUUUUGUAAAAAAUUUCUCAGCAAUUUCUUCUUGAUCAAAGUACUCACUUAUACAAACACAUUCAUCACCAGAAUCACCAUAUUUACCACCAAUGUAAGUGCCUAAAAAUACAAAAUCAUAGAUUGCUUUCUGGCUAAAAUUAUCAUCACCAAAUAAUUCAAAAUAACCACUACUACAAUCAUCCAAAAUUUUCAUACUGUCAGUCAACUCUUUUGGAGUAAAGUAUUUUUCAACUCCGAUGACAUCCAUAUCUAUCAAAUCAAACAUUCUCCCAUGACUUUGAAGAGAGUCCGCAACCAACGAAUUUUUCAACAACAAUUUCAUGUUCUCUUCUCUUAUCAAAUCAAAAUUUUCUUCUUCUUUUGUCAAAUUACCAUUUUAUUUUUUUCAACAAAUUCAUUACUUCUAAUUUCUCCAAACAAGGUACGCAAAUCAAAACUAUCAAUUGAUUCAAAAUUUUCAAUAUCACCCAUAUUAUCAACAAAUCUAUCAUUUUUAAAAUCCACAAACUAAUUCCAACAACUAGACUUCGGUUUGAAAGCAUAAUUUCUCUCAAUCGUGUGCAAAACAUAGUAAAUAUUCUUCCAAAAUCUCUAAAGUAUUUUAGUACAACCAAUAAAGGUUUUAUAAAUACUUUUUGCCAUUAAUUUAUGCAUCACUUGAAAGAAUAAUUGUGCCUUUUUCUUAAAAACAUGUUUUGCCAACUUACUUGCGUCAACCCAACAAAGAAUAUCAUCCAAAUUACAUUGUUUGACAUAUUUUUCCACUGUUAAAAUCCAACCAAAUAUGUAUGUAUAUUUGUGCUUAUAGGAGUCAAUAUGAAAAAUUUUUCACCGUCAAUCAGAUCUUUAUAAUAUUCCAUUAUUUAACAAUUUGUAUACCUGAAUAAAUUUUUUUCCUCCAUCCUGUCAUGUUUUCUUGGCCUCCCUGGUUGACUAACCAAAUUAUUGUUGUAUGUAUACCCAUGCUCGUCAAACCUCAUUCGUGUACACUCGUAAGGAGUGGUUCUGAGCUUAUUGUGAAUGCUCAGUACCAAGAAGUAGAAGAGAGAAUGCAUAAGAGAGAAUUAACUUGGCUAAAGAAUUAGGAAACAAUUGAGGGAUUUUUUAAGAAAUUAAUUCUCCAACUGCCACUUUUGGAAAUUUUCUAUCAACAACUAGUUACCAAAACACUAGCACAUAGUAAGAAAUCUGGAUAAUUUCAGAAACCUCCCUUGAGGCUUUUAAUAAUCUCGAGAAGCUCCCCUCAAUUUUUAAAAUUGCACGUACCAUCCCUAUUGGUGCAAAAGUACUCUACUACCCCUAAUAGGAUACUCAAAAGACUUUUUUUAUGGGAAAAAAGAAGGCCAGAAAUCCAAGCGAAAACAAAAAAAAUCAAUUUAUUUUCUCUUUUAGCCUUUUACGCUUUUGCCUUCUACCUUUGCUCACUUUCCCAUGCCAAUCUUCCUAUAACCACUUUCCCAAUCCCCUUUCCCCAACUUUUCUUCUCUACUUCAAGACCAAUUUUUGUCCAUCAAUCCUGGCUUGUGCUUUGUUCCAUUCCCUUCCCUUCUCCUUCUUUGAUUUCCCCUAUAUCUCCCCUUCUCUUUGCAAAAGUGACUAGGCUCAUCUCUCUCCUUUUUUUCCCCAUAUUUUAAGUGUAGUGGGUUUGAUUAUUUUGCAUCUAUUUUAUUUGAUUUUGGUUGAUUAUGGGUGAUAAAACUUGGUGAUGUCACAUAUUAAAAGUUUGAUAGAUGGAUAUUGGGCUUUAGACAAUGAUUUGCUGAAAAAAAUGGCCGCAAUGAGAGGAAGAGGCAAAGGGAUUUGAGUGUGGGGUUGAUUGUUGAUGAAUUGUUGUUUUGGAAAAAAUUUGAGGUUGAGUUUUAUCAAAUUUGGUAGCAAGUGGCGAGAUUUGUUCAGGUUGCGGGAAAUAAAUUGGUUUGUGGUUUCUUGGGCACCCACAGUCGUUGGAAUUGGUUUUGAUUCAAAUUAGGGUGGUUACUUGAUUUUCCUAAUAGUGUUGCUUAAAAGCACACGAUCAUCAAAAUUCCUUAUUUUUAUCUUUUAUUUUUUUUUUGUAGAAAAGAUUUCAUGACUUUCGUGAUAGUCUAAUUUGGAAGAAGGCAAUCAAGGGAUGCAAUCAACAUUUAGCAAAAGCUCUUGUUCUUUUCUUUGUAAUUUUUAGGGUAAAAAGGGUUGUUUAGGGUAUUUGAAGGAAAUGAUAGUCUAUUGGGUCUAUUUUGAAGCAUAAAUAGUGAACGUAAGGGAGGUUGGUGUUAUUUCUGAAACCUAAGGGAAUUGUCUGAAAUUGUCCGAGACCUCGGAGGAGGUUUUCAAAAUUAUCCGUAAGAAAUCAAAUGCGAAACUUGAUUCGUACACGCACACACGACACCACACCACGUCACGCGUGUGUUGAGGACUGAUGUCCGUAGCCAACGACAAGCAGGUUUUCAAUUUUUUUUUCCUUUCCUGGAUUCAGAGAUGGUGUCAGCUUCUAUUAUUGGUGAGCAGGAGGAAAUCCACAAUAUACAGUACACAUCACCCAUAUUCUUUUUAAUUGAACAAUGUAUGAAAUUAUGGUGAUUCGAAAUUAAAUUAUAUGUUUAUUGGACAACGAAUCCAAAAUAAGAGUUGGAAAUGUAUUGUGACAACAAUUGUUAACUUUGGCCACAAAUGAUCAAAAUAAAUAUUUAAGGUUUAAUAUGACAUUAUGGGUUCAAAAUAUAGUUACUUGUUAUGAAACAACUAAAAGUGCGGAUGCCCAUUUGUAUUCUCAAAAGGAUCAAUUCAUAAUUCAUUGCUCCCAAGAUGAUUAAUUCAUAAUUCAUUGCUACAUUAUGUAAAGAAAUUACAUUGGAUGAAUGGUUUCAAUCCAUAAGAGCUAUUCAUGUAUUGGAUGAACCGUUUCAUAUGGCUAUUCAUGUUCUUGUAGUAAUGAGUGUUUAAUAGAAUUGAUGUACCUUUAAUUUUAUAGUACCUAUACAUAGAGGUACCUGGCACCUCUUCGGUGUACUUUUUGAUUAGUUGGAAUAAUAAGAAAAUCAUUCUCCAUUUCUGUACUCUUUCACUAAUAUUUCAAUUCCUAUUAUAGUAGUUCAUUUUUUUUUAGUUUUACAACACGUUAUCAGUACGAGUCUCUCCUUUUAAACAAAAAGGUGAAAACGGAGCCUCUACCUUAAAAAAAAAGUGAAACACGAGAUUUUGCCGAAAUUCUGCCGUAUUUUUCCAGUAACUUCUGUCUACUUAUUGAGAAAUGGAUGCCAAAUAUUUGGGAUUAAAUGAUGGUGAUGAUGACAUUUGUCUCAUUGAUAGUGCUACUACGCGCACUAUAUUGAAAAAUAAAAAAAUUUUCUUGUAUGAAAAUGGGAGAGACAAAUGUUAAUAUCAUAAGUGGUAGUGCAAAAUUGAUUGAAAGAUUCGGAAGAGCCACUCUAUUUCUUCCUAAAGGGACUAAAAUUGUCGUAAAUAAUGCACUAUUGUCUCCCAAGUCUCGGAGAAAUUUAUUGAGUUUUAAAGAUAUCCGCAAAAACGGAUAUCAUAUUGGGACAAUGAUUGAGACAAAUGGAAAAUUUUUAUUAAUCACAAGUAUCAUUUCUAGACAGAAAUACGUAGUAGAAAAAUUACCUUCUUUUUCUUUUGGCUUAUAUUAUGCACAAAUUAGUGCAAUUGAAAUUUAUCACCUAGUAAACCAAAAGUCUAUUCAUCCCAAUAAUUUUAUCAUUUGGCAUGAUCAUUUCAGAAAUCUUGAAUCUAUAAUGAUGAGACAAAUAAUCGAGAAUUCACAUGGUCACUCAUUGAAAAAUCAAAAGAUAUUAAAAGCAAAUGAAUUCUCCUGUGUUGCUUGUUCCCACGGAAAAUUUAUUAGACCAUCACCAGCUAAAGUUGGGACUGAAUCCCCUACAUUUCUAGAACGAAUUCAUGGUGAUAUAUGUGGAUUAUUUCGAUAAUUUAUGGUGCUAAUUGAUGCAUCAUCUAGAUGGUCACAUGUAUGUUUAUUAUCUACUCCCAACCUGGCGUUUGCGAGUUUGCUUGCUCAAAUAAUUAAAUUGCGAGCACAAUUUUCAGACUAUCCAAUAAAGAAAAUUCAUCUAGAUAAUGCUGGUGAAUAUUCAUCACAUACUUUUGACGAUUAUUGCAUGUCCAUUGGAAUAACUGUUGAACAUCUUGUAACUUAUGUUCACACACAAAAUGGUCUAGCCGAAUCAUUUAUUAAACGGCUACAAUUAAUUGCUAAACCAUUGUUGAUGAGGUUUAAACUACUUUCAUCUGCUUGCGAACAUGCUAUAUUACAUGCAGCAACACUUGUGAGAAUUAGACCGACAAGUUAUCAUACUUAUUUUUCCCUACAAUUAACUUUUGGUUAUGAAUCCAAUAUUUUUCAUUUAAGAAUAUUUGGUUAUUCAGUUUGUGUUCUAAUUGCACCGCCCCGACGUUGUAAAUUGGGCUCGCAAAGAAGAUUGAAAAUAUAUGUCGGGUAUGAAUCACCUCUAAUUAUUAAGUAUAUGGAACCAUUGACAGAUGAUUUAUUUAUUGCGAGAUUUGUAGAUUGUCAUUUUGAUGAAUCAGAUUUUUCAACAUUAGGGGGGAGAUAAAAAUCAACCGAAAAAGGAAAUCACUUUAAAAAUAUCAUUGAAUUUUCUCGAUUCUCGUACAAAAGAAUGUGAACUAGAAAUUCAAAAGAUUAUACAUUUGCAAAAAAUUACAAAUCAAUUACCGGAUGCAUUUAAUGACUCCAGAAGAGUUACUAAAUCACAUAUUCCUAUUGAAAAUGCUCUGAUUAAAAUUAAUAUCCUUGAAGGACAAAUUACAAGUGCUAAUGAGUCUAAAGUGCGCCUGAAGCGUGGGAGAUUUCUUGGUUCCAAAGAUAAAAAUUUUCGAAAGAAAAGAGGAGUACAUGAAUCAACAAUUAAUGACAAAAUUUAACCUCCUGAAGAGAUCGCUCCUAAAGAGCCAAUUCUUGAAGAGAAUAAAAUCAUAGAAAAUUCAAUAAAUUUUGUCACUUCAGGGAAAAGUUGGAACCGAAAAGAAAUAAUUAUUGAUAGUAUUUUUGUAUAUAAUGUAGCACUUGAUAUUAUGGUAGAGAAUGGGGAUUACGAGCCUAAAUCGAUUGAUGAAUGUCGACGUAGAAAUGAUUGGCCAAAAUGAAAAGAUGCGAUCCAAUUUGAAUUGGACUCACUGGUUAAAAGAAAAGUUUUUGGACCUGUAGUCCAAACACCUGAAGGUGUGAAGCCAGUAGGAUAUAAAUGGGUAUUUGUGAAAAAAAAAUGAGAAAAAUGAAAUCGUGAGGUAUAAAUUAAUACUUGUAGCCAAAGGAAUUUCACAAAGGCCUGGAUUUGAUUAUGAUUACACGUAUUCACUUGUAGUGGAUGCUAUCACAUUUAGAUAUCUUGUGAGUUUUGCAGUACAUGAAAAAUCAGAUAUGCAUCUAAUGGACGUCGUUACUGCAUAUUUAUAUGAAAAUCUUGAAAAUGAUAUUUAUAUGAGAAUUCCCGAAGGAUUCAAUAUGCCUGAAACAUGCAAAUCAAAUCUUAAAAAUAUUUAUUUAAUUAAAUUACAAAAGUCUUUGUAUGGAUUCAAACAAUCUGAACGUAUGUGGUACCGCCUUAAUGAAUGUUUAACUAAAGAAGGCUAUACCAAUGAUCCAAUAUGUCCAUGUGUCUUUAUCAAGAAAAAUGGAUCAAAUUUUGUGAUAAUUGUUGUAUAUGUUGAUGAUCUAAAUAUGAUUGGAACACCUGAAAAGAUUCAAAAUAGUGUUGAAUAUUUGAAAAAAAAUUUGAGAUCAAAGAUUUUGGAAAAAUAAAAUUUUUCCUUGGUUUACAAAUUGAGCAUUUGAAAAGUGGAAUUUUGUCCACCAAACUGCUUAUACCCGGAAGGUAUUAAAGCGAUUUUAUAUGGAUAAGUCACAUACAUUAAGUAUUCCAAUGGUCAGAUCAUUAGAUCCUAAUAAGGACCCUUUUAGACCGCGAGAGGAAGAUGAAGAGAUACUUGGUCCUAAAGUACCAUAUCUCAGUGCAAUUGGUGCACUACUGUAUCUUGCUAAUUGUACAAGACUUGAUAUAUCAUUUACAAUAAAUUUAUUAGCAAGAUUUAUUUCCUCGCCCACAAGACGACAUUGGAAUGGUAUUAAACAUAUUUUUCGUUAUCUUUAAGGAACAAAUUGAUCUUGGCUUAUUUUAUUCAAAUAAAUCUAAACUUGAAUUGCUUGGUUAUGUUGAUGUUGGAUAUUUAUCUGAUUUGCAUAAAGCAAGAUCUCAGACUGGUUAUCUAUUUACAUAUGGAGGUACAACCAUUUCUUGGCGAUCUAGAAAGCAAUUAUUAGCCGCCACUUCAUCGAAUCAUGCUAAAAUAAUAGCAAUUCAUGAGGCUAGUCGAGAAUGUGUUUCGUUAAGAUCAAUGACCUACUAUAUCCGGAAGAGUUGUGGGUUAUCCUCUGAAAAAGAAAAUCCUCCGACUAUAUUUUAUGAAGAUAAUGCAGCUUGUAUAGCUCAAUUGAAAGGAGAAUAUAUUAAAGGAGAUAGAACGAAAUAUAUUUCACCAAAAUUCUUUUUUACUCAUGAUUUACAAAAGAAUGGUGAAAUUGUUGUGCAACAAAUCCGAUCAGAUAAUAAUUUGAUAGAUUUAUUUACUAAUGUAUUGCCGACUGCAAUAUUUGAGAAAUUGGUGAAGAAUAUUGGAAUGCGACGACUAUAAAAUCUCAAAUGAUAUUUGCAUCAGGGGGAGAAAUCAAUACACAAGAAUAGUGUACUCUUUUUUUUUCACUAGAGUUUUUGUCCCGUUGGAUUUUUUCCUAGUAAGGUUUUAAUAAGACAUAUUCUUUGUGUAAUUAAUAUCCAAUGGGGAGUGUUAUGAAAUAACUAAAAGUGUGGAUGUCCAUUUGUAUUCUCAAGAAGAUCAAUUCAUAAUUCAUUGCUCCCAAGAGAAUUAAUUCAUAAUUUAUUGCUACAUUAUGUAAAGGAAUUACAUUGGAUGAUCGGUUUCAAUCCAUAAGAGCUAUUCAUGUAUUGGAUGAACCAUUUCAUAUGGCUAUUCAUGUUCUUGUAGUAACGAGUGUUUAAUAGAAUUGAUGUACCUUUAAUUUUGUAGUACCUAUAUAUAGAUGUACCUUAGCUGAUAGGUUGCAAUUUUAUCAUUUAUUUUAUAAUUAAUUUCUCCUAUUACCUGACUUGAUGUGGAUUAAUUGCGGGAUUCUACUCACUUUUAGUAUUUUGCAUUUAUUUCAGGGAGUAGAGCGAAAAUAUAAUAACAGGUGCUAAUUUGACAAAAAAAGAGUCCAAGGCACAGAGCUUAUCCCGGGGGCAUUAUUGGCAAAGGAAGACUUUUGCCCAUUUUGGUAAUUUCAAAAGAAGAGAGCAGGGCAGAGGCCUCUAUUUUACUGGAGGCUGGAGCGCCGCACAAAGGGAGCUUCUUCUUCCUUCGGAGGCUCCGUCCUCUCCGCAAGGGGGCUGCCGCACACAGCAGCCAUUAGAAUAGGAGCAAUUGAUAUAUGACAGAGAAUGAGCACUAGCACCAGGGAGUUGCCUUUGUUGACUUUUCUUCCCUUUUAGUUCUUAGUAGUUGUUUUACCUUCCUCGUACGUAGGACCUUUAGCAUAGUUUCCUUUUGACUUUCCCUUGAGUCUUGGGUGGAUGUCUCCUGCGCAUGUCAGGAGCAAUUGAAGGUCUCGGUCACUUUCUGUAUUCUUCCAUCAACUGAGCGAACUGAGCUCCCUUGGUCAAGGGCAAUGGCUGCGGCUUCCUCUCCAACUUUGUGUGGGAUUCGUUCACCAGGAAUGAACUAAUUUUUCUUUUCUAGUCAAGGAACAACGGAGGUCUUGGUUGGCCUAAAUUUGUGAGAUCGAAUUAGUUUUUAUUUAUUUCCAUUAUUCACUGGUAUUUGUCUAUCUUCUGCUUUAUGUUCAUAUGGUUGUUUUAUUAUUCGAUUAUCCAGGGCCCGGAUACUAGAUUAAUUCAAUAACCUGAAGCCAAUUAGGAUAGUUAAAUCCGUAAUUGUUUAAUUAUUCUAAACUGCUGGCAACUGGCAUGAUUGGGUUUGUGUCAGGGGGAUAAACAUGCUAACUUAAAGAGACCCUCGUAGCGUGUUGAUUGGUUAGAAUUAGGCUCUUCUAAUUAUUCAUGCAAUUAGGGAAUUGAACUUCUAUGGUCGUACCUAGGGUUAUUUCCUGAUUAGAGAAAUAGUCAACGGUCGUACCUUGGCUAUCGACAAAUUGAGGAAGAGUUGGUUGUUUAUCGCGUGUAUGGCAACUAUAACUAAUUUAUCAGAUAGUAACUGGAAUAAUCCUUGCAUCUGUGAUCGAAUUAAGUGAACCAUCUCCGAAGUUGUCUCUUGGCUAGAGUUCGUCAAUUAUUAUUUUUAUUGUGAUAAUUAGUUAUUUGAGUUGUAGUUAUUUUAUUUUAUUUAUUCCAAGUAAUUUAGUUACUCUCAUUUUCAAAAACCCCCCAUAUCUGGAACUUGAGAAGAAAUUAAAUUAUCCCCAGUCCCUGUGGAUUCGACCCUGCUCACCGCUAUAUACAGAAUUUGUAUUUUAUUUGAGCAGGUAUUUAUUAUUGCACAGGUUCGGCACCUGUCAAUUUUUUGCUACAUUAUGUAAAGGAAUUACAUUGGAUGAUCGGUUUCAAUCCAUAAGAGCUAUUCAUGUAUUGGAUGAACCAUUUCAUAUGGCUAUUCAUGUUCUUGUAGUAACGAGUGUUUAAUAGAAUUGAUGUACCUUUAAUUUUGUAGUACCUAUAUAUAGAUGUACCUUAGCACCUCUUGGGUGUACUUUUUGAUUAGUUGGAAUAAUAAAAAAAUCAUUCUCCAUUUCUGUACUUCUUUCUCUAAUAUUUCAAUUCCUAUCACAGUAGUUAUUUUUUUUUAGCUUUACAACAUUACUUAAAUAAGAGAGUUAUUGGACUAUAUGUUUAUUGACCUCUACUAACUUAUUUAAGGUCAUUUCAUAUCACUAUCCAAAGAAGAAUUAAGGUCAUUUCAUAUCACUAUCCAAAGAACAAUUCUUGGGCGCUAACAUUUUUCUUACAUGACUAUUAAUGAAAGUUGACCCAAAUCUCUCUGUCUCUCUCUUUCUUUCAAUUCUUAGGACUGAUGCCAAUUCUUACCAUUUAGAAAGAAAAAUUAGAUUGUUUAUAUAUAUGAUGAGUUCCCUCUAAGUCAUGGUUAAGAAAAAUUCUUAGUUAAACGCAGUUUUAUGAAAUGUGAAUUUCCUUUUCUUUGUCUUUAUUCAUUAGUAUUAUUGGGGUUAUUGUAUUAUGAUUGCAAUGCACAGAUACAUGGAUUUUUGACAUUUUUUCUUUUUAAUUGACUCUGACUAUGCCUCAAACUCGAGACAUCAAACCUGGACACGACUUUUGUCCAAAAUGCUUGUAAAAAUUCAGAAGAAUAAUUUUGGACCUUAUUAUUUGAUAAUGGUACAAUUAUGAGAGUCAUUCCAGGUUAAUUAUCAAACUUGGAACUUGAAAAUAAUGUCGACAUCAUGUCAUUAUUAUUUUUUAGUUUCAUAGAAAAAUGAAGUAUUCUCCAACUCGACAUUAUCAUAGUAUUUUCAAUUGGCAGCUCAUGUGAGAAAGACAAGAAAUUCACAAUCAACUGGCCAAGAGAGUGCCAACAAAGAAAGCACUAAAUGGCUUAAACAAUGCAUGCAAAUUUGCUUGGCACUUAAACAAUAGACACCUAAAUCAACCAUGUCACUGUCUUGCCAAAAAAGGGCAUUAAAGUAAAAACAACUCAUGCCUACCACAGGUAACAAACUUCAGCACCUUCACUUCACUACCAUGUCAGCAACAACAUUUGCAAAUUUCCAAGGAAGUCCACGCACUAAAGGUGCCCAUGCCCUUAGGGGACCUCAGGUUAGUGUUCUUAACCUCAACUCCUGUCUUUCUGUUCUUAGGAAAUAUUGAAAUUAAACGUUAUAACUAAUCCUGAUUUCCUUGUGCUAUAUUUGUACACAAUUUGGCAACAAGGGUAAAAAAAAAUAAAAAUAAAAAGGUUUAUCUGCAAACUGUAGUUCGGCCUGGCUCUUUUUUUUUUUUUUUUUUUUGGGGAUAAGAUCAUCUCAGCACCCGCAGACCCCGUCAUGUAUCAAUAUUUCUGUACUUAGCAUUGGCUUCUUCUCGCCUGAAGAACACACGAACCACCGAAAUAGAUGGUGCAUGAAAGUGCACUUAACCCUUUUAAUUUUUCAAAACAAUCUUUUAGAAAAAAUAAUAAAAACUUUUUGAAUUUAAUUUUAGAGAAGAAGAAUUUUAAAAUUUUUUGAAUUUAAUCUUAGAGAAGAAGAAGUUUAAAAUGUACUUUAAUUUUCACAACUGAUGAUGAAAAUAGCAAAAUGUACACGGAUAGUGACAAAAGUGGGAUCACGGGCAGGAAAUCCUGAAGGUUGCGUGCAUUUUACACACGGCAUAAUUCUGUUUGUAUAUAGUGUAAUUUACUUUUUACAACGUGUAAUUUUAAAACAAAAUUUUGUAAGUCUCACACAUUUUAUUAAAAAUAAGGUACAAGAUGAAAUUUGGACCAUAUAAUUUUUUUUAAUCAAAUCUUGACCGUGAACUGCUCAGAAACGGUUUACCUGAUGACCGUCCCUGGUCCAAACCCGACAAAGGUGCCAUCUUAUCCUUUUACUGACUGGCCCGUUUUCCAAUGAGAGGGCCCAGAAGGGGUGCCUCUGCUUCAUAGUUUAUCCAUAUUGAUAUUUCUUUUCUGUCCCCCUAACUAUUAAAUGUGAAAGGUUGCCCACCAAAUUUGACGAAACCGUUUAUCCUAAUUGAUUAUUAUCAAUAGGGCAUAACUUUAAUAUUCUUCUUCCAACCCUUUCUGGUGAUUCCUGCAACUCCAGCCGUCCGUCAAUGACCAUAAAGCACCAUUAACCGACAACUAACUAACCACUAUUAAUCUAUUCUCAAAUUUUAAUGAAAUUGCACAAUCUAUUCUCAAAUCAAAUUUGAACAACAUUUUAUAGUCGAUAACUUUGAAACUUGAUAAAAAAGUCUGUUUAAACUCGGUUUAGUAAAUAAACAAAUCAAGUUUGAACAAAAUUUUAAACUCAUUAAAAUAAUUAAACACGUUUGAAUAUUAGGGUAUUCGAUUUAAUUAGACACGUUUGUAUCCCUAAUUAAAGCAUGCACUUUUAUAAGUUUAGGAAUCAACAUUAUACAUUUAAUAGCUAGCUAGAGGGUCAAAAAGUUAAUUGCCUUAAAUUCUUUUAGCAGCCAUAAGGUACAGUUGGAGGGAUUCCCUUGAAAUUGGUUAGAUUCUUCUAUGUGACUAAAGAAUUUCGGGUGUGACGCAUUACUAGUCCUACCCUAAAAAAAAAUGGUAUUACUAGUCCUUUUUUUCUUUUUUGGCGUGCCCCCGUCGUGGGAUGUGGGGAGGGGAGUCUGUGCGAGAAUUCUAGGUCGGGGUACAAGGAGCCAAAGUUCACCUUAUUCAAAGUAAACAACCGUCCAUCUCAGUUGUCGACUUUCCUGUCGAUUGCGUAUAUAUAUAUAUUACUAUCUUUUACCAUGACUUUAGAGGAUAGCUAAUUUUGCUUGCUAUUAAAUAAUAAUUUCGGUAGUCUAUAAAUACUCUUGUUCCUCACCGCUCCUAGCACCACAUAAUUCCUUCAAGAACAGCCAAAACCUUCUUGAAAUCCCUCUUUUUCCUUCUAGUUCAUUUCCAAGAAACAAAUGGCCCCUGUCACUUCCAGUUAUGAGGUCACCUCCUCAAUCCCUCCUGCAAGGUUGUUCAAGGCCACCAUCCUCGAAGAGAAGCAUCUUCACAAGAUCUUGCCACAGGGCGUUAAGAGUGUCGAAAUCCUUGAAGGAGAUGGUGGAGUUGGCACAAUUAAGUUGACCACAUUUGUUGACGGUAAGAUAAUCAAUACAAAGUGAUUAUUUUCACACAUUUGAAGUCUUCAAAUUUUUCUCUUUUUUUCCCUUUUAUUUGGGAAAAACUAAUGACUUUUUUUUUUUGGUUGGGUUAAAUAUUUAGGUGGCGAGCAUAAGACUGCCAAACAGAGAGUUGAUGGAAUUGACAAAGAAAAAUUUACAUACAGCUAUACUGUACUUGAAGCUGAUGGAUUUAACGAUGUAAUCGAGAAAAUCUGUUGUGUCAUCAAAUUUGAACCCUCUGCUGAUGGAGGUUCAAUCUGCAAAACCACUAACACAUACUACCCCAAAGGUGGUGCUCAGAUCAGUGAGGAACACCUCAAGGGAGGAAAAGAGAUGGGUUUGGGAAUGGUUAAGGCUGUUGAGGCAUACCUCCAUGCAAAUCCUACUGCCUACAACUAAUUAUAAUGAAUGCUACUGCAAGGACUCUUCGACAUAUUUUCUUCAAGAUUGAAGUAUAAACUGAGGGUGUCUGUUUCCUUUUUUGCUUGGUUUGCUUAAGCUGUUUGGUUAAGUUAUUCGCAGCAAGAGAAUAAAAUAAUUCAUUUGCUGUUUUUAGAUAUGAAUUCAUGACUGUCAGUAGUCUAUAAAUACACUUAUUGCUCACCACUCUUUGCACCGCAAAAUCUUUUCAAGAUCCAUCAAACCCUCCUGUUCUUGAUCUUUCUCCAUUUGUGAAAAAACAAAUUAAAGCAUCAUGGCCCCUAUCACUUGUAGUGCUGAGAUGACCUCCCCAAUGCCUCCUGCAAGGUUGUUCAAGGCCGCCAUCCUUGAUGACCACCUUCUUCCCAAGAUCAUGCCACAGGCUAUUAAAAGUGGAAAUUCUUGAAGGAGAUGGUGGAGUUUGAACCAUUAAGUUGAGCACAUUUGGUGACGGUUAGAUGUUAUAUUAAAUGUAGAACCCAAAUUUUAAGGAUCUAAUAAUAAUCAAUUAAUAAUAAUCAAUGCGUGCAGGGUUACAGAAUUGGAGGGAUAAAACAAAUACUCAAAUAAAUGUGGAAGAAAAGAAAAUAAUAAAUUCAACUCACAAAAUUAUUGAAAUUUCAAACAAUGAAAAAAAUCAUACCUUAAUAAAUUCAGUUGGUUUUAAUAAUAAUCAAAGCAUACAAGGUUAAAGAAUUAAAAGGAUAAAACAAACACUCAAAAUAUAUGUGGGAGAGAAGAAAAUAAUAAAUUCAACACACAAUAUUAUUGAAAUCUCAAACAAUGAAAAAAGUCACACCAUAAUAGAAAAUCUUGCAAAUUCUUCUAGAUUCUUUCUCUUGAGAAACCAACCUAAAUAAUGUUCUAUUUAUAAUCUACCAAACUUGUUAGGAAAGAAACCACUUGCAUAAGAAAUUACCAAAUAAAACAGAAAUUCCUAAAUCACACAACUACUAAAAACAUAACUCAAAUAAAACUAAAAAAUAAAUAAAUUUUUCUUGGCUUAGUUUAAUUUGUUAACAUUGCCUCCCUUAAACCAAACUAUCCAUUGAGAUAUGUUCAACACCAUCUCGAGUAACAAUUUCUAUGCAAAUCUAUGUUGUAGUAUACUUGACAUGAAACUCUAACUUGUUACCAGUUAUUAAUUUCAUCUUUACACGUAACAGUGGACGUACUAUGUAUUUUGUAAAAAAUUUCUCAACAAUUUCUUCUUGAUCAAAGUACUCAUUUAUACAAACCCAUUCAUCACCAGAAUCAUCAUAUUUACCACCAAUGUAAGUUCCUAAAAAUACAAAAUCAUUGCUUGCUUUCUCGCUAAAAUUAUCAUAACCAAAUAAUUUAAAAUAGCCACUACUACAAUCAUCCAAAAUUUUCAUACUGUCAGUCAACUCUUUUGGAGUAAAAUAUUUUUCAACUAUAAUGACAUCCAUAUCUAUCAAAUCAAGCAUUCUCCCAUCACUUUGAAGAAAGUCCGAACCAACGAAUUUUUCAACAACAAUUUCAUGAUCUCUUCUCUUAUCAAGUCAAAAUUUUCUUCUUCUUUUGUCAAAUUACCAUAUUAUUGUUUCAACAAAUUCAUUACUUCUAAUUUCUCCAAACAAGGUACGCAAAUCAAAACUAUCAAUUGAUUCAAAAUUUUCGAUAUCACCCAUAUUAUCAACAAAUCUAUCAUUUUUAAAAUCCACAAACCAAUACCAACAACUAGACUUCGGUUUGAAAGCAUAAUUUCUCUCAAUCGUGUGCAAAACAAAGUAAAUAUCCUUCCAAAAUCUCUAAAGUAUUUUAGUAUGACCAAUAAAGGUUUUAUAAAUACUUUCUGCCAUUAUUUUACACAUCACUUGAAAGAAUAAUUGUGCUUUUUUUCUUAAAAACAUGUUUUGCCAACUUACUUGCAUCAACCCAACAAAGAAUAUCAUCCAAAUUACAUUGUUUGAGAUAUUUUUCCACUGUUAAAAUUCAGCCAAAAUAUGUAUGUCUAUUUGUGUUUAUAGGAGUCAAUAUGGAAAAUUUUUCACCAUCAAUCAGAUCUUUAUAAUAUUCCAUUAUUUAACAAUUUGUAUACCUGAAUAAAUUUUUUUCCUCCAUCCUGUCAUGUUUUCUUGGCCUCCUUGGUUGACUGACCAAAUUAUUGUUGUAUGUAUACCCAUGCUUGUCAAACCUCAUUCGUGUACACUCGUAAGGAGUGGUUUUGAGCUUACUGUGAAUGCUUAAUACCAAGAAGUAGAAGAGAGAAUGCAUAAGAGAGAAUUAACUUGGCUAAAGAAUUGGGAAGCAAUUUAGGGAUUUUUUAAGAAAUUAAUUCUCCAACCGCCACUUUUGGAAAUUUCUAUCAACAACUAGUUACCAAAACACUAGGACAGCGAUCCGUCUCUAUUUUACUCUUCAAGUCUUCGCCGGGGAAGCAACCCGGCCUUGCGAGACUAUAAUGAAUAGGCACUUGCCUUCUGUUUUUACUUUUUUUUUGUUCAAAGACUAUAAUGCCCUUAUUAUUUGACUGCGCAUCUCGCAAGAUAAUGCUUUCCAUCAAAAUUAACUGUUGGGUUUGACAGAAGCGCCACGAAUAUUCUAUUUUAUUAGAUCCAGAGUCAAAAUUUUACCGUUAAUUGUUAGAGGGUUAAAACUUUAUCUGGAAAGGAGUUGGAGGGCCAUUGGAACUCUUUUUCCAAAAAAAAAAAAAAGUCACUUUUGUCAUUUGUCCAAGAACAGUUCUGGGGCCAUCUCGACAGUAUAUAUUUUUCUUACAUGCCAAGACAAUUAAUGAAAAUUGACCAAUAACACACGCACACACACACACACACACACACACUCUCUCUCUCUCUCUCUCUCUCUCUCGGUUGCUGCCAAGUCUUUCCAUUGAAAAAGGAAAAUUCAUAUUGUUUACAUAGAUAAAUUACCUCCAGUCCGUGGAAUGUCUUGAUGUUAGGUGAGUUCUAAUAUUUUGGUAUCAUCUAGAGGUGGCAAAUCAACCCACUUAACUAAAUUUACCCAUAUCCGCCCAUGAAUAGAUGGGUAUGGAUAUCUUAAAUUUUUGUAUAUGAGUAUAAAUGGGUUACCCAAUAAUACCCAUUUAAAUGGGUAACCCAUCAAACCCAAUUAACCCAUUUAGAAUUCUCUUCCCCUCAAGUCUCUUCUUUUCCCCCACCUUUUUUUUUUUCAAAUUUUUCAUUUUGUCAUGAUGUUAACUACUUUUGUUUUAUUAUUAUUAUUUGUUGGUUUUAUCUUAUUAUUUUAUUUUCUCUUAGUUUGUUAACUUACUCAUUUUUUACCAUUACCAAUUUAUGAUAAAUUUUAGCCUAUUUUCUUAUCUUUAUAAAAUGAAAUUUUAAAUUUAUAUAUGAAAAAAAUGUUAGGGGUUCAAAAAUUUUGGAUUAAGUUUUUAUAUUAAUUUUUAUAGUACUUAGUUCAAAAUUUUAUAUUCUUAUUAUUCAAUUAUUAAAUAAUAGGUAAUUUUGUGACAUAGAGUAUAAAUGAAAAAAAAUUGGUAAUUAAGUUUAUUGAACAUUAUAAGUAAAUAUUUAAAACUAAUGAUGGGUAUAAAGAGUGAUAUAAAUUGAUAACUUAGUUUGCAAAAAUGAAUUUAAAUGAGUUUGCAAAAAGUUAAAAUAAAUGGGUUAUAAAUGGGUAAUUGGGUUACCCAAUUCAUUUUUUGACUUGCCUAUUUAUACCCAUAUAAUUAAAUGGGUAUAAAUGAGUUGACUCACUUAUACCCAUUACCCAUUUUACCCAACUCAAACCCGCCCAAGUCACCCAUUUUGACACCUUUAGUAUCAUCUAAUGUUCAUUUGUGAAAGAUUGAGAAAUGAUAAAGAGCAAAACACCAAUUUAUUCCAUAAAUUAUUUUGCUAAAAUCAAAAUAGUCCAUAAAUUUUCUUUUGGCCAAAUUUUUGUCAUGAACUUUCAGAAACGGUUGCAGGGGAUUUCAUCCGGAUUGCUUGUGCAGUUGAGUAACUAUACAGAAAUUCUUUUUGGGAUGCUGAGUAUCUUAGGAUGGGUACAAUGAUCGCUUAGAUCAGUAGAGAUGAUUGAUGAUGUAGUAGGGGAAGAUUCCCUUUAUAAAGCUGAUUUUCUCAUGAUUAAUAAGAAUAUAAAUGUUACCAAAUUUUCUUUUCAAAUGUGUAACGAAAAUAUUGGCCAUGAUCAGCAAGACCUCCUUAAUUAUAAAAGUUUCUUGAAUGUCAUCAUCCAAUUUGUUUAAGCGAGGAUUUUUAAAUGCUAUCUUUAAGCAAAUUGAUUUUUGUAUUAUAGAUACUUACUACUAUUACUUCAUACCUAGCUACAAACCUCAUGUAUGUUUUAGUUUUAAUCCAGAACAAAUCAGGGCCACGGGCCACCUUGCACAUAGCGAGAGUGGAAAAAUAAAACUACACAAUUGCUUUUUUGAAGCCAGUGACUCAACUGAUUUUGCGCUCGGCAAUUCAUCCGAUUUUCAUUAAAAGGGCCCUAAGAGGCCAUUGGCGUUUUGGGCCUGUGAAAAUUUGGAUGAUUUGGUGUGUCCAAUGCAUGUGUAAGCACAAAUUUUGUUGUCUAAAAUAAAAGACAAGAAAACUUACAUAAAUAUCAAAUUUAUUAAAUUAAAUAACAAGAGGGUUACAAUAUUUGAAAAUUUUUGAAUCAAAGAAAUUAAUCUCCUAAUUUUUAUCUUCAAAAGGCUUUAAUCGGAAGGCCAAAAAGGCUUGUUCUCCGAUCAAGAGGGUGUUUUCUAUGAUUUCUAUGUAAAAAACGGCUGCUUUGAUGAUGACGUUAAUAUUUGAAUCUUUAAAUCUUCAACGCCGAUGGAAGGAGGAUUUAUUUAACUUAAUUUGGAUUUGGAUUUGAAUUUGAGGGAAAAAGCUCUCAAGAGAAUUUGACAAAGUUACUUUGAAAUUUAGGAAUUUUAAUGUAUUUUUGCCUUGAGGGAAGACCUUUAUUUAGAGUCAACAUAUGCAAGCUAUGUCUUCAAGAGAAUCCUUCAAAACCAUCUUGCGUUUGGGUAACUUGUACCUUAAGAAACCCAUUUAACUUGGAGUUAAAUAGUCGGCCGACCCAAAUAGUCAAUUGUGAAUUAACAAAUCAAUUAAAUCACUUUAAUUUAAAUGGGCAUCACAUUUUUUAUUUGAUUUAAUAGCUCAUAUAACAUUGGCUCAAUUUGUCAAUCCAAAACAUAAUGAACUUCUAUAAUUUAAUUUAAUUUAAUAAAAAUCAAUUUAAUUUACUUAAUCUUGCCUAAAAAUAAAUUAAAUAAAUUUUCGUUGUCUAUGUCCCCACUUCAAAACUUGGCAAGGCAUUGCAUGUUUAUUUGAAUUAACUUAAAACUUCUUAAUACGAUUCAUCUAAGCACCUUUAUAUAUAUAUAUAUAUAUAUAUAUAUAUAUAUAUAUAUAUUUAUUUAUUUAUUUAUAUAUAGAGGUACAGAAGACAUGUCUUUGUCUUGAAACUGUGACAAACAGGACACUUAAGACAAGGGCGUGUGAAGACUAUCGCACUAUUUGAGCGAAAAAAACCUGUUUUGCACGUAUAUUUUGAAGGUAAUCAUCUUUAUUGUCUUUUGACAACUUCAUGUUGGUCGAGUAUCAGAUAUUCACCAAAUUUUGUUGAAAUUUGUCAAAACUUGAUUUGUUUCCAAUUUGGAGAAAAAAAAAGAUUUUUUUCUUCGUUUCUGCAAUUUUCCAGGUCACUCUUUCCUAUCAACAUGUUACGAUUCAGAAAUUGAGACAAAUCUUGUACAUAGGAAUCUUUUUUAACAGCUGAUGGUUGGAAUUUAGCAGACACCUUGAAGUCAAAGAAGGCAAAUAGCAUUCCAAUAGCAUUAUUUGGUUGCAUGCCAUAUCCAAGAUUUUCACUAGUAAGCCACCAUUUUCUUGCUUUUGAUUGUUAUUCAUUCUCUGUUGCGCAAUUUUAUUUUCGCACAAUCUAUUUUUUUCGUUGAAUUUUCUCUUUUGCAAAACAGCGACCACCAAGGAAAGACAGAAAGAUUUUUUUGUUUUUGUUUUUGUUUUUGUUUUUGUUUUUUUUUUUAUGGUUGCACCUUGUGUUGGCACCCCUUAUUUGAAGCAAGUUGAUGUUCCAGUUGUGUUGGGGAUUUUAGGGCCAUAGCUCUUAGAACUCAAAAUACUAAUGUAAUUUCCGCACUCCAUGACAUUUACUUCUUGUCAAUGCCAAACUCUCCUCUUUUUUUUUGUGAUAUGAAAGGAAGAUCUCUCGUUGCAACAUAUAUGGUGGACACUCAAUUUGAAAGAAGGUGCAACCACCAACUUGCACGAGAGCCAUAUCAUGGUUUGAGGAGUAUAAUGAAAAUGAUGCAACUGCAAACUCUUAUGAGAGCCAUAUCAUGGUUGAGAAGUACAAUGAAGAUAGUGCAAUCAAAAAUUUGAAAAAGGUGCAAUCGCAAACUCCCAUGAGAGCCUAUCAUGGAUUGAGGAGUACAACGAAGAAUGUGCCACAAAAAGUUGAAAAAUGUGCAAUCGCAAACUCGCACGAGAGCCUAUCAUGGUUUGAGGAGUACAAUGAAGAAGGUGCAACUACCCACUUCAAUGAGAGCUUACCAAAACUCGAGAAGCCCUUUCAUUUAACUUCACAUUGACUAUUUAUUACUUCUCUCACUGUCUUCGAUCACACCAUUGUAAUCAAAUUUUUUUCUCUUGCUUUUGGUCCUAACGAAAUGGUGAUGGUCAAGGAAGUUACAUCUUCAAACAAAAGGCACCUCCUUAUCACUAAUAGCCAUGAUGACUCUGCUGACAAAGGAACGAAAUUAUUGGUGCAUCCCUCUAUACAAGAAAUUUACUCUGGUGAUUGGUUUUCUCACAAGUAUUCCGAAUUAAAGGAUUGGUCACUAAAAUUUUCUCAAGAUGAUGGUACGAAAGUUCACUCCUUGAAAUUCCUUAUCAUAAUAAGGAGCCAAGGACAAUUGGCAGGCGAAUCCUAGAUGAGACUAAGGGUGCAAACGAGGCAAGUCGAAUCGAGUUUUGAAGUUAUUGAGUCGAGUUACACUUAUUUAUAUGCGAGCUCGAGUUCGAGGUCGAAAAAUAGAGCUCGAACUCGGCUCGAUGUAGGAAAAGGAAAACUCGAGAUCGACUCGCUUAUGGCUCGCGAGUUUAGCUCGAAUUCUGGCUCGCGAGCAGCUCGAGUUUUGCUAGAUUUUCUGGCUCGCAUGAAGCUCGAAGUCAGCUCGAUUCUAGCUCGUUAGGAGCUCCAGUUCGAACUCGAAAACAGCUCGAUUUUCUGGAAAUUUAUGCAAGAAAACAGAAUUUUUGUCCGCAUAUUUUUGAUAAAAUUUGAGCAUGAUAACAAUAAGUUUUCACAUAUUCUUGAUCUUGAGGCCUACAAAUUAUGCACUAAUACAAUCAUAAAUGUCCAAAUGUCCACUAAUACAAAUUAUCCAAAUGUCCACAAAUGUCCACUAAUACAAAUUAUCCAAAUGUCCACAAGAAGUCUGAAGAAUACCAGCUUGUUGUCCACAAAAACCAAGGCAUGACAUGAAGCGAGAAUUUCCUGACUGCGUCCUGGAACUUUACUCAUUUCUGUCUCUAAUUCCUCAUGAUCAGUUAGUCCACCAACAUUGAACAAUAUGGAUCAGGAAUGGGGAAAAAUCACUUUCUAACACUCAAGAUCACAUACAACUCAUAUCCAACAAAUAUCCUGAAGUUUCAUGAGUAUAAUCACAUUAAAAGAGAAAAGGAUACUGACAAGCAUGCUAAUCAAACUCAAGCAGAAAAGGUACUUUCUCCUUGCCGUCUCCGACAUCCCAGCCAGCAAAUGGCUGGGGUUCGUGACAGCUGUUUGGGUCCAAUCCAUCUCCGGCAACAACUAUACCUUCUCCAAUUACUCCGACGCCCUCAAAUCACUCAUGGCCCUCACUCAGCUCCAACUCAACAACCUCUCCGUCGCCAAUUGAUGUCAUUAAAGCAGAAAAUCGGCCUGAUGGCCUCCACCAGCUGCCAUCCCUAAUCCAAGAAGGUCGAGUGUAGUAUGCUUAGGACCAAAUACAGAUGGAGUUCCCAACAUCAGUUCCUUCAAGCUAGACCCACCAUCACACGGCAGCCCUAGUCCUAGGCCUACUACCAAUGAUGCACUAUCAGACUCAAUUGCCCUCCCACUCUUCGCCCGGAAAGACAGUGGUGAAAAGAGGUAAGGAGGUGGCGGCAAAGAGCGACGGGUUAGCCAAAGUUAGAAGAUCCUCUUUUUCUAGAUUUGCAAGUUUCCUACUCUAGAGACAAAAAUGUCCUUGAUAUUUGGUCGUGCAUCUUACAAGAUAAUGCUUUCCGUCAAUUUUAACCGUUGGAUUUGACGGAAGGGCCAUGAAUAUGCUAUUUUAUUAGAUCGAGAGCCAAAAUUUUACCGUUAAUUGUUGGAGGGUUAAAACUUUAUCUGGAAAAGAGUUGGAGGGCCAUUGGAACUCUUUUUCCAAAAAAAAAAAGUCACUUUUGUCAUUUGUCCGAGAACAGUUCAGGGGCCAUCUCGACAGUAUAUAUUUUUCUUACAUGCCAAGACAAUUAAUGAAAAUUGACCAAUAACACACGCACACACACGCGCACGCACACACACACACACUCUCUCUCUCUCGGUUGCUGCCAAGUCUUUCCACUGAAAAGGAAAAUUCAUAUUGUUUACAUAGAUAAAUUACCUCCAGUCCGUGGAAUGUCUUGAUGUUAGGUGAGUUCCAAUAUUUUGGUAUCAUCUAAUGUUCAUUUGUGAAAGAUUGAGAAAUGAUAAAGAGCAAAACACCAAUUUAUUCCAUAAAUUAUUUUGCUAAAAUCAAAAUAGUCCAUAAAUUUUCUUUUGGCCAAAUUUUUGUCAUGAACUUUCAGAAACGGUUGCUUCCUGCAACCGUUGGUGAGGGAUUUCAUCCGGAUUGCUUGUGCAGUUGAGUAACUAUACAGAAAUUCUUUUUGGGAUGCUGAGUAUCUUAGGGUGGGUACAAUGAUCGCUUAGAUCAGUAGAGAUGAUUGAUGAUGUAGUAGGGGAAGAUUCCCUUUAUAAAGCUGAUUUUCUCAUGAUUAAUAAGAAUAUAAAUGUUACCAAAUUUUCUUUUCAAAUGUGUAACGAAAAUAUUGGCCAUGAUCAGCAAGACCUCCUUAAUUAUAAAAGUUUCUUGAAUGUCAUCAUCCAAUUUGUUUAAGCGAGGAUUUUUAAAUGCUAUCUUUAAGCAAAUUGAUUUUUGUAUUAUAGAUACUUACUACUAUUACUUCAUACCUAGCUACAAACCUCAUGUAUGUUUUAAUCCAGAACAAAUCAGGGCCAUGGGCCACCUUGCACAUAGCGAGAGUGGAAAAAUAAAACUACACAAUUGCUUUUUUGAAGCCAGUGACUCAACUGAUUUUGCGCUCGGCAAUUCAUCCGAUUUUCAUUAAAAGGGCCCUAAGAGGCCAUUGGCGUUUUGGGCCUGUGAAAAUUUGGAUGAUUUGGUGUGUCCAAUGCAUGUGUAAGCACAAAUUUUGUUGUCUAAAAUAAAAGACAAGAAAACUUACAUAAAUAUCAAAUUUAUUAAAUUAAAUAACAAGAGGGUUACAAUAUUUGAAAAUUUUUGAAUCAAAGAAAUUAAUCUCCUAAUUUUUAUCUUCAAAAGGCUUUAAUCGGAAGGCCAAAAAGGCUUGUUCUCCGAUCAAGAGGGUGUUUUCUAUGAUUUCUAUGUAAAAAACGGCUGCUUUGAUGAUGACGUUAAUAUUUGAAUCUUUAAAUCUUCAACGCCGAUGGAAGGAGGAUUUAUUUAACUUAAUUUGGAUUUGGAUUUGAAUUUGAGGGAUAAAGCUCUCGACAGAAUUUGACAAAGUUACUUUGAAAUUUAGGAAUUUUAAUGUAUUUUUGCCUUGAGGGAAGACCUUUAUUUAGAGUCAACUUAUGCAAGCUAUGUCUUCAAGAGAAUCCUUCAAAACCAUCUUGCGUUUGGGUAACUUGUACCUUAAGAAACCCAUUUAACUUGGAGUUAAAUAGUGGUCCGACCCAAAUAGUCAAUUGUGAAUUAACAAAUCAAUUAAAUCACUUUAAUUUAAAUGGGCAUCAUAUUUUUUAUUUGAUUAAAUAGCUCAUAUAACAUUGGCUCAAUUUGUCAAUCCAAAACAUAAUGAACUUCUAUAAUUUAAUUCAAUUUAACUAAGAUCAAUUUAAUUUACUUAAUCUUGACUAAAAAUAAAUUAAAUAAAUUUUCGUUGUCUAUGUCCCCACUUCAAAACUUGGCGAGGCAUUGCAUGUUAAUUGCUGGAGGCAAGACUUGAAGUAUUAAUUUUACUGCUGACCUAAAGUCAAACUAAAUUAAAGACUUCAAGCGUUCGGCAUACGGGUGAUCCACUUUUUUUUUUUUUUUUUUUUUUUCCUUUUUCUUUGGGAAGAGAAUGGUCCACAUCAAUUGUAGAAUUGCACCUCAAAGUCCAAUUGAAUAGGCAACGGUCACGGGUCUUCACUUUCACCUACUACUUGAAUAAAGCCUUGAAGCUCUUGAAUUUUCCAACUCUUAAUUUAGUCGUCAAUGGAAGUGCAGCCCCACAAUAUUAGACCGCAACUUUGACCCGUAGAAUUAGAAACCCCCGUUUGAUUAUGCGAUGUGGGCUCCUGCGCAGAAACUCCCAUAUGCUGAAAUUUGGAGUUUGCUCGUACGUUUCUGACCACCAAAUCUUGUUUUGGCACUUGGCAAUAUGGAAUUUGCUGAGUUUCAACGCUUCCUAAACGGAACUUUAAUGUAUUUCCAAAACCAAUGUUUGCAACUUCUGAAUAAGAAUAUGCCAAAUUUUAAGAGCUUCCCAAAUUGACUUCCAGCCAUUGAAAUUAUUCUUGGGAACCAAAUUCAAAUGAUUUCCAAAAAGUUAAACGAUAAUCACUGAAUUUAGUAUCUGUCCAAAACUUAAAACUUCUUAAUAUGAUUCAUCUAAGCACCUUUAUAUAUAUAUAUAUAUAUAUAUAUAUAUAUAUAUAUAUAGGUACAGAAGACAUGUCUUUGUCUUGAAACUGUGACAAACAGGACAUUUAUGACAAGGGCGUGUGAAGACUACCACGCUAUUUGAGGGAAAAAAAACCUGUUUGACACGUAUAUCUUGAAGGUAAUCAUCUUUAUUGUCUUUUGACAACUUCAUGUUGGUCGAGUAUCAGAUAUUCACCAAAUUUUGUUGAAAUCUGUCAAAACUUGAUUUGUUUCUAAUUUGGAGAAAAAAAAAGAUUUUUUUCUUCGUUUCUGCAAUUUUCCAGGUCACUCUUUCCUCUCAACAUGUUACGAUUCAGAAAUUGAGACAAAUCUUGUACAUAGGAAUCUUUUUUAACAGCUGAUGGUUGGAAUUUAGCAGACACCUUGAAGUCAAAGAAGGCAACUAGCAUUCCAAUAGCAUUAUUUGGUUGCAUGCCAUAUCCAAGAUUUUCACUAGUAAGCCACCAUUUUCUUGCUUUUGAUUGUUAUUCUUUCUCUGUUGCACAAUUUUAUUUUCGCACAAUCCAUUUUUUUUCUUUGAAUUUUCUCUUUUGCAAAACAGAGACCACCAAGGAAAGACAGAAAGAUUUUUUGUUUUUGUUUUUGUUUUUGUUUUUGUUUUUGUUUUUUUUUUUUAUGGUUGCACCUUGUGUUGGCACCCCUUAUUUGAAGCAAGUUGAUGUUCCAGUUGUGUUGGGGAUUUUAGGGCCAUAGCUCUUAGAACUCAAAAUACUAAUGUAAUUUCCGCACUCCAUGACAUUUACUUCUUGUCAAUGCCAAACUCUCCUCUUUUUUUUUGUGAUAUGAAAGGAAGAUCUCUCGUUGCAACAUAUAUGGUGGACACUCAAUUUGAAAGAAGGUGCAACCACCAACUUGCACGAGAGCCAUAUCAUGGUUUGAGGAGUAUAAUGAAAAUGAUGCAACUGCAAACUCUUAUGAGAGCCAUAUCAUGGUUGAGAAGUACAAUGAAGAUAGUGCAAUCAAAAAUUUGAAAAAGGUGCAAUCGCAAACUCCCAUGAGAGCCUAUCAUGGAUUGAGGAGUACAACGAAGAAGGUGCCACAAAAUGUCGAAAAAUGUGCAAUCGCAAACUUGCACGAGAGCCUAUCAUGGUUUGAGGAGUACAAUGAAGAAAGUGCAACUACCCACUUCAAUGAGAGCUUACCAAAACUCGAGAAGCCCUUUCAUUUAACUUCACAUUGACUAUUUAUUACUUCUCUCACUGUCUUCGAUCACACCAUUGUAAUCAAAUUUUUUUCUCUUGCUUUUAUUGCAAGUUGGUCCUAACGAAAUGGUGAUGGUCAAGGAAGUUACAUCUUCAAACAAAAGGUACCUCCUUAUCACUAAUAGCCAUGAUGACUCUGCUGACAAAGGAAUGAAAUUAUUGGUGCAUCCCUCUAUACAAGAAACUUACUCUGGUGAUUGGUUUUCUCACAAAUAUUCCGAAUUAAAGGAUUGGUCACUAAAAUUUUCUCAAGAUGAUGGUACAAAAGUUCACUCCUUGAAAUUCCUUAUCAUAAUAAGGAGCCAAGGACAAUUGGCAGGCGAAUCAUAGAUGAAGACACACACUGGGGUGCUUCCUUGAGAUUUAGUGAUGAAUUUGGUUAUAUCGAGAAUUAUUAGGAGCGGUUGGAAGAUAUUUUUGGAAAAAACAAACAAGUGUUUCGUGAAAAUUACUUGUUCGAUGUCUUAUAUGCUUCGCUUCUCAUAUAUAACAAAAAUUCUCAUGUGUUUAGAGCAUUUUGCGAGACAUGGUGCCUAAACACUAAUACCUUGCAUAUGUCAAUUGGAGAAUUAUCUCUCUCACUUUGGGAUCUGUGUAAAUUAGAAGGACUUCCAAUCAUCGGAUACAUCUAUGAAGAGGCGAUCCCAUGUGUAGAGGAACUAACUGGAGUUAAUGAAAAGAAGUUGAUGCAUAUUCCGCAAAAUUGUGAGUAUUUGUUCGCGGCUCUGCACUACCUUCAACAUGGAGAAUACUACAAUUAUGGAGUUUCUGCUAGCCAAUAGAUUAACUUUUGGUUUAAAGGCAACGUGAGGUAUUCAAAACCAAAACAGAGAAGGAUAAAGAGAGCAUCUAGUGCUUAAGCAACCCAAAAUCCAGAUGGAAAGAUUGGACAACCACGUAAUUUUUAAUUCAAGACAAUGGCAUAUAUGAUACCAUUGGAGACAAGUCUCACUUACGAGAAGAGACUUAUCUUGUAGCAUUUAUAUCUUGUUGACUCUACGUUUUUACUCUACCAGAUGAGGACGUCUAUUAUAUUAGACUAUCUACCUUCAAAAUGGCUAGCAUGAUGGCUGUCGGAUAUAAAACUUGCCUUGCUGUUCCUGUCUUGCUGAGUAUCUAUCACGGAUUCAAUAAAAUUUCAAAUUCAUCUACUCCAAGGUGUGCGCGUGCAUUUUUUUCAAUGCACUACGUGUAUGCUUAACUGGCGAGUUAUUUCUCUACCCAUUAUUCAACUCCGAAUAUCAUGCCUGGACCAACAAUUAUCAAUUAUUCUGGAAAGGGUGUGCACAAUAUUUUGAUGAAAAUAGUGCUUGCGACCUCAUUCAUCAAGGAGACAAAGUAACUUGGGGGACAACUUCUCUUGUGAAGAAUUAAAAUGAAUUUUUUGUUGAUGAUGGCAAGUUAGCGAACCCAGAACUGAUUUAUUUCGUAAGUGCUUGCUCAAAUUAUUUAGUCUUACAUGCUGAAGGAGAUUUUCUUGUUGAGCCAUACAGGUUUGCAAGGCAAUUCGAAUUUUAUCAAAACACCCCACAAGAACUGGGAGCAGAUGUUCAUUCUACAAAUUAUGACUUGAGUCAAAUACUUUGACACAUUGCUAUUCAUAAUAAGACAGAGUCGAAGGUAUUUUUUUCUAGUUACCCCUUGAAUGCUAACAAGCAUAUAUCUCCAGAUUUUCAAACAUGAUGUUUUGAUUAAGAGUGUCCAACCAAAUUUGAAACAGAAGAAAUCGAAAGGAAAGAAACUUGCAAAUUUGAAUAAUCCUGUCAAGGUUGGCAGUAAUCUUGAGGCGAAACAGAAAAUCACCAAGACUGUGAGGAUUGAGGAGAAAGCAUUGCAGAGCUCCAGCAACUCGUGAAAUUCUAAUUUUCAAUGAAGAAUUUUCGAAUGGUAAUUCAUUUUGUCUUCCUUCAAUAAUUGUAAAAGCCACCAAUCAUGAGUCUCGCAAUUCCAAUGAAAAGAAGAGGAGCAACUCUUUUGAUGAGAAGGAUGAGCAAUCUACUAGUACAGACUAGCACUAGAAGCAUAAGAAAUUCAAGGUAAUGACUUUCUCUUUGGAUGAUAUUGUUUUAGACCCUAAAGAAAUGUUUAAGGACAUUCUGGACAAAUAUGUGCUUGGUAUAAGUCAUGCCAAUAUUAUAAGAACAUUCUCUUGCCUUCUUUAGUUUGGCAUUUGAAAUUUACUUAUCAAUUUCAUAUUCAUGAUAUGUCUCAUAACAUUUUCCAUGUAGUUGAAUGAUCAAAACUUGAUUUUUAUUAAUGAUGGGAAAUCAAGCUAAGAAUUCGUUGAAGGACCCACUAUAUUUUAACUUUUAACAAAACAAGUGGUCAAUUCUACUCAAUAAAAGGGCAUCAUUGAAAAUUUCAAAAAGGCAGUGCAUGAUGAAAAUUCAGUUCAACAAAUCAUGCUACAGAAGAAAGAACAUGUGACUUCACCGGAGAAAAAAAAGUUCAAAAUUUUUGAUCCACAACCGUAGCCAAGGGCACCUCAAGUGUCUGAAUUUUGCCCCCAAACUAUGAUCUUAACAUGUCAUCGAGAUUACAUUCAAAUGCUCUGAAAUAAUUUGAAGGUGCUGAUAUCCGAAACAAUCCUGGAACGCAUUUCUGCUCUUAAGAUGAAAGCAAAUGAAAUCAUGGAGGAAAUGCAAAGUUUCAAUGCUAUGAAUAUUUCAAACUUGUAAGGCCUUUUAAAGCCUUUCUUUACAAAACCAAUUCGUUCUGUCGUAAUAAAGUCUUCUUUCUCAAAUAAAAUUUCAAUUGAAUCAUAUAAUGAGUUGUUUUCUAUAGCUACCCAACAUCUUAGAGAUGCUCAGAGUAAGGAGAAAUAAUAACUUAAAAAGUUCUCAACGUACAUGUUAAAAUUUAAAGAGAUUGACCAUGAGAAAAUAGAGCUAAGGAAAUGACUUGAAUCUAUGGGUACUCAUAGGAUGGAAAUACUUUCACUGCUACGAAAGAAACAAGACGAGCUUACCUAAAUGCAAGGCAAGAUGAUCAACUUAUGAAAUGAAAUUCAAAAGAUUGAAGAUUCCCUAUCUUUACUUGUUGAGGAGAGCCAAACAUUGAACAAAAUGCAAGCACUACUUGAAAGCAACUGCAAAAAACUGUCAUCAUUUGAACUUUAGAAUUAGUUACAAUCUUUUACUUUUUUCAAAUUUUAUUUAUUGUCACUUGCCUAUAUUAUAUAGCCACAGGCAUAAUUAAUUUUUUAUUUCACCAUGAAUCAUGAUUUUUUUUAUUUCAUGAUACUCUUGUGGAUAUUUCUUACUUUCCUUUGUUGCUUUCAUUAACCACCAUUUUAGACUAUCGAUUGCAAAAUAAACAAUUCAACAUUUGCAUAAUUUUAAUCACAUUUGAAGAGGUAAUUGUCUACAUAAUUUGAUAAUUUGAACAAUAUACUUUCAGGUGUAUGUUGCAAAGUAAUUUGAAUUGCCCUAAAGAGAAAAACUUUUUAUCUUUUAUUGCAUGACAUCUUUAUGGGGUUGUAACUGAAUUUCGAAGUUACCAUCUAAACUGUUUGCAUAUCCCAAAAGGGAAUAAAUUCACGUGUAGUUCCUACCAUCCACAGUUUAAUUUCUUGCAGGUCAGGAGUAUCUAUUUGCUUAUCACUUUAAACUUGGUGGAGUGUUUUAGUAGUUUAACCAUAUACUACACUAUUGGUGAUUGCCGUCCACAGUUUUAACUCAUAUGGACCAAGAGCAACAUGCAGUUUAGACUCAUGUGUCAUGAAACAACAUGCAGUUUAGGGUCAUGCGUCAUGUUGUCCUUUAUUUUUUUUAUGGCGUGUAUAAUCUUAAGAAAUUUUCAUUUAUGGGUCAACAUUUACACCAUUUUGUCAACUACCUUGUACGCGUUAUUUGUAUAAACAUUUCGGAUAAUAUAUGGUCCAUCCUAUUCGGAGACAAAUUUAUCUUUAGCAUGAUGAGUCAUAACUAUUGAUUUUCGAACGGCGAACACUAUGUCACCAAUUUGAAAGGAAUGAUGAUGAUAGCUUUAGAAAGGUAAGCCUGGUAGCAUUCAAGAUUUUGUUGAGUUUCCAAUUCCUUUUCAUCUAAAGUUUCUAAUUCUUUAAGAAGCAAGCAAAUAUUUUCUUUCUCCAUGAGCCCUUAUUGGAUGGCAAUUCUCAGAGAAAGAAUUUGUUGUUCAAGAAGCAAGACAACUUCUACACCAUAAACUAAGGCAUCAGGGGUGGCUUGCAUUGGAAUUCGAUAUGUGGUGCGAUAAACGCAGAGAGUUUCACCUAUCAUUUCAUGCCAAUCCUUCUUUGAUCUGGCCAUCACUUUUUUCAACAAGUUGCAUAGAGUUUUAUUGAAUGCCUAAACAAUACUGUUGGCAGGGACAUUAUACAUAAAGGACUUGCGAUGUUUGAAUUUAAAUUUCUCACACAACCUAUCCAUUAAACAGUUGAAGAAGGGUUUCCAUUAUCAGUGAUAAUGUGUUAGAGAAUUUCAUAACGAUAAAUAAUAUUUACACGAAUGAAAUUCACCAUAUCUUCUUUUCUCACUUGAGUGGUAUAGUUUCAUCCCAUUUAGAGAAGUAGUUGGUUGUAACCAAUAUAUAUAGAUGUUGUCCGAACGACUUAGGCAAUGGUCCAACAACAUUAAGGUCCCAGGCAUCAAAAGGCUAAGAAGUAAUAGUCAAAUGUAAUAGUUCGGGUAAUUGAUGAAUGUAAUUUGCAUAGAAUUGACAAGUUUGACACCUUUGAGCGUAUUCCAUACAAUCUUUGACCAUAGUAAGGCAAUAAUAGCCCAUCAUUUUAAUCCAAAAAUGCAACUUGGGACCGAAUUGGUGAGUUUGACAUAUUUCAAAAUGUGCCUCUUGCAUAGCUUGAUAUUCAUUAUCUUCAUUCAGACAGCGCAAGAAUACACUUUCAAAUGAUUUUUGAUAUAGCGUAUCUUUGUAUAAGAUGAAACGGGGGCACGACAAUAGAUAUCAAAUCUUUUAUGUUGCUCCUUAGGUACCUUUUGAUACUUGAUAUAAUUGAUAACAGGUUGUCUCCAAUCUUCUUUAUCAACUUCAUAAGUUGAGACGACAUAAGCAUCACCUUCCUCAAUAUUUUCAUUAUCAAAUAAUGGUGAAACUAUCCACUUUUGAUACACACGAACUUGUAUUUCAUAAUUUGACAUAGUCAGAGAAGAAGCAAGCAUAGCUAAUGCAUGAGUUUGCUUAUUUUCUCUUUUAGGGACAUGUUCAAUACUUGUACCUUCAAGUUACCUUAUAAGUUGCGUUGCAUUCUUGUGAUAUGGAAUUAAUUUAAAUUUUUUAACAUCAUAAUUUCCCAAGGGUUGACUAACGACUAAUUGUGAGUUGCCAUAGAUUUGAAACUCAAAUUAUUUCAUGUCAAUAGUUAUUUCAAGUCCGAAUAUGAGGGUUUGAUACUUAACGACAUUAUUUGAACAACGUUGAUUUAGAAUAAAGGAGUAUGGCAAAACUUCUUCAUCAGAUGUUGUAAAUACAAUUUUGACUCCAACUCCAUGACGAUGAGUAGCAGAUUUCAAUAAGGAGUACAUUUUUAUUUGGUAGAUCAUCACUUAACUCCCAUUCAACAAGUAUCGGGUGAUCAAUAAGAAAAUCUACUAGUACUUAACCCUUCACGGCCUUUUGGAAUACAUAAAUAAUUUUAAAUUAUUGUAACUAGGUACCAUUUAGCUAGACAGUUGGAUAGUGUUGGUCUACUUAUCACGUAUUUUAUGAAGUUUGCCUUGAAGAUGAGUCUCACACUGUGUGCUUGAAAGUAGUGUUUUAACUUCUAUAUUAUAAAAAUAAGAGUUAAACACAACUUUUCAAUCGGUGAGUAGUUUAAUUUAUUAGAGAUCAUCAUAAAUAAUAAAGGGCAGUUUCUUUCACUUCAUUAUUUUCUUGUGCAACCAAUACCUCCACUAAACGUUCUUGGGUAACAAUGUAAAGAAUUAAUGGCUUUCUAUAAAUAGGUUCAAUCAAGACAGAUGCCUUCAUGAGAUAAGAUUUAAUGCUAUUGAAUGUAUUGCUGUACGCUUCAUUCCAUUGGAAUGGUACACCUUUCUUCAUAAGGUGAUUAAAUGGUUGACACCUUUCAAUUAAAUUUGAGAUAAACCUCCACAGAUAGGUUAAUCGCUCUUGAAGGCUUUUUAUUUCUGAAUAUUGCGAGAUUCAGGCAUUCUCAAUAUAGCAUCAAUGUUGACUCGAUCAAUUUUAAUACCUCGAUGACAGACCACAAAAUCAAGAAACUUUCCUGAUGUAACUCUAAAUGCACAUUUGAGAGGAUUCAAUUUGAGUUGAUAUAUUUUCAACCGAUCAAAAUUUUGUUUCAAAUCCUCCAAGUGAUUAUUUCUUUUUUUUUUUAUUUAACAACCAAAUCGUCCAUAUAACAUUUAAUAUUUUUAUGAAGCAUGUCAUCAAAAAUAUUUUACAUUAAUCUUUGAUAUGUAGUUUUGAUAUUUUCAAACUAAAGGGUAUUAUGUUAUAACAAUAAAUACCCUUAGGAGUAUGAAAUCUAGUGAGUUAUUUAUCCUCAGGUGUUAUUCGAAUUUGAUUAUAGUUAGAAAAGCUAUCCAUAAACGACAAACCCUCAGACCCAAUAAUUGCAUUAAUCAUGAGUUUGGUGAUGGGUAGAGAAAAAUCAUCUUUGGAACAAGCACUGUUAAGAUCCCUAAAAUUUACGUAGAUGUGAAUUUGCCUGUUCUUCUUUCGUACAGACAUGAUAUUUGAAAUUCAUGUGAAAGACUUAAAUUCAUGAAUAAAUCCAUCAUCAGUGAAUUUAUUGAUUUCAACUUCGAUCAAAUAGACCAAAUCGGGUCUAAAUCACCAUUGUACUUACAUUACAGGUCGAACUCCCUUUUUAAUAGGUAAAUGGUGGACUGCUACUUUUGAAUUUAGACCUAACAUUUCUUUAUAAGUUCAUGUAAAAAUAUCUUGAUACUCUUGCAAGAACUCAACAUAUGUCUUCUCUUCAUCAGAAUUCAAUAAAGCACUUACCUAUAUAGGAUAUGGGUCCUGUGAAGUGCCAAAAUUGAUUUUUUAAGUCAUCUACAGUGGCCUUAACGCCUUGUUCAAAUUCAGGUGAAGCAUCUUCAACAUCUUCUUCUUCUCCAAGGGAAUUAUUAUCAAAUAUGGUUAUAUGGUUGUAUGAAACAAUACUUUCUUCAUCAUCUUCCUUUGAUCUUGUUUCUACAAUAGUAUGCUCUCUAACCUUUAGUUCAGUCCCAUAAAUUAUUAUAAGAUUUGUACAUCUCCUCAUUCUUGAGAGAAUAAUGUUACCAAACUUAUAAAUGUUAUGGGGACAAUCAAAAGAUUCUUCAAAUUCUUUCAGUGAUUUUGUCAUUCUCCAUUUAUUCUUAUGAGAAUUUUGAGACUUUUAUUUUCUUUGUGGUCCUAGUCUUUUGAAGACGAAUACUCACAGAGCCUUAUCCCUAUUUUUAUGAAAAACGUGUGACUUAUUGACUAUUUUAGAAGAUUCAUCUCUUAUAGCAAUAAAUUGACUACCAGCUCUAUUGAUUUUGAUGCGAAUUGGUACAGGUGAAAAAUAGUAAAGAUCAGAUUUAGAAUUCUUAACAGCAUAUCCUUUCCCUUUCAACAUCUUUUGAGUAAGGUUUAACCCAUAAGUCACAUCGCUAGUGGCUUGAGGAGGUUUCAAUACCAGAGAUUUCUUGAAAUCAUACCCAAUUUUGGUAAGAAGUUUAUAAGCAAUAUAAUCAAAAGCUUCAUUAAUUCUUGACGUCAGUAGCAUAUCUUGCUUGAUGUCAAACUCUUUAUUAAGAUGAUCAAACCCUUUGAUUAAAGGCGAUGGUAUAUUCGUAGCAUCAAGUUUAGCCACAGGAAGAGUUAAUCCUUUCAGAGUUUUGUGUGGAAUUGAAGAUGGUUGUCCUUGUCCCAAUCUUGACUUGGGAGGGUAUCCGAAGACAACUGAUUUAUUUUUUAACAAUGAGGCAUCAAUUUUUUUAUGAACUACCUCUUUUGAUUUUGGAAUCACCACUUUCUUCGUUUUGCACUUGAUGAUUCGAGAUCUUGGAUUUUAACCAUAGAUGGAGAUUGUUUAAACUCAUUCUUUAUGUUAUACUGAUUUAUUUUUUAACAAUGAGGCAUCAAUUUCUUUCUGAACUACCUCUUUUGAUUUUGGAAUCACCACUUUCUUCCUUUUGCACUUGAUGAUUCGAGAUCUUGGAUUUUAACCACAGAUGGAGAUUGUUUAAACUCAUUCUUUAUGUUAUAUUUUUGGAUAUAAAAUUUAGCAUUAGCGAUAUGCAUUUCUACUUCAGUGUAAAGAUUAUAAUCAGUUUUCACACUUUUUACCACUCCAUUUCGGUAAUACUUGAAAUAUUGGUGAAGAGUUGAAAGCACAACCCCAUUUUCAUGAAUCCAGGGUCUUCCCAGUAGCAUAUUAUUUAUUGUUUUAGUAUCUAUUACAUACAGUUGUGCUUUAGACAAUAUAUCAUCGAUAACUAUCUCUAAAUUUAACGAUCCAAUAGCUCUUUGCCCUCCUUGAUUAAGGUCUUGUAUUAUUAGUCAGCUUAUUGGAAAGUUUAUCAAUGGAGAUGCCAAAUUCCUUUAGAGUUUUUAAGACAAGGCUAUUGACAGCAGAACCUCUCUCUAUCAAAAUUUUAUUCACAUUUUAUUUUUUAGCAUAAACAGUUACAAACAAAGGACGGUUAUGUGAUGUUGACCCAAAAAACAAGUUGAUAGGGUGUUAAUUGUUAGUAAUUUUAUUGCUAUUUUUCCCCUUUGUCCUUGCCAAAUAUUAUUUUAAUUGUUAACAUAUACUUAUUUUUGGUAUUUGGACCAAUCUACAGGAAGUGGAACUGACAAAUGCUAAAAAGGAGAUUUUAUUGAGAAAAAUCCUUCACAUGCUAGAGCCUCCAGCGGAUAUACAAGUUGGGCCCACAUGGUGUUACAAAUUCGGUUGCUGAUGGGGAGCUCUUAUUAUUGGGAGUUGACUUGUACGUGUAGGAGUCCUCCUACCAAGAGGAAACAAGAAAAAAGGAAUUCGGCAGAGGCCCAUCUUUUGUACUUAGCUUUCUCAAUUCGGUAGGGACCAUGGACUAGAGGUUUUCAUUAGUGAUUGGACUUUAAAAGGGAAGAAACGUAUAGAGGCUUGGGGAUUAUUAUGAUUAGCGUAGCUUUAGUUUUAGUGGUUAGCUAGCGUUUCCUUUUCAUGCGCACGAGGUGCUCGACAAUAUUUUUCAACGGGAAAAAAAAACAUCUUUUACUCUUGCUUUCUAGUGAAAAACUUGAUGCCUUUGCAAUCAAUUAAUUUGCGUGGAGAUUUAAUUAUGCGGCGUGGCUAAGCCUUUUAUCUAGUCAAGGAUCAACUCGACGGCGCAGUCCCAAAUAUCUGUGAGAUCUAAUUAGUUUUCACGCGUUUCUUAAUUUGUUAAUAUUUGCAUGUUGCCUAUUUGAAUUUCCACGGGAUUAUUUUGUUAAUUGGAUAUCAAGAGCCCGAUGUUCAAUGUGACUUAUUAAUUUCCUGCCAAAUUAGUCAAUUAAAUCCGUAAUUGUUUGAUUGAUUAAUAUUAGUAGCAACUGACAUGUUUACACACUAGAAGAACGUGCAAUCUAAUUUAAAUAACCCUCGUAGCGUGUUAUUGAUUGGGAUUAGAUUUUUCUAGUUAUUAAUGCAAUUGGGAAAUUAAUUCAUACAGUUGUACCUAGGAGUAUUUUCUGGUUAGGAGUAAUCAUUGGUCGUACCUUGGUUAUCAAUAAAUUAAGGAAAAAUUGGUCGUUAGAAUUCGUCGGCGACUAUAACUAGCCUAUUAAUAAAUUAAGUGAACCUCCCUUGCAUCAAUGAUCGGGUAAGUGGACUGUGUCUGAGUAGUUGUAUUCUUAACUAAAAUUUAUCUAUUCUUGAUUUAAUUCCUGCCUAUAUUCGUGCUAAUUAAUUAUUUAUUUUUAGUGAAUUGCUUAAUUAUUUUUAGUUUUACUCCAAUAAAAUUCCUCUUUACCAAUUGGAAUCUCAAAAAGACAAAUAUUCUCAGUCCCUGAAGAGACGACCCUACUUGCCAUUGUCUACUAUUUAGUAAGUUUUGUCAACUAAUUAAUUUUGGUAUAUCGGAUUAAGCAAAUUUUUCGGGAACAGGGUGAAUUAAGUAACCUAUUGCACAUCUAGAGUCCCGGCUCUAAUAUCUAGGAUUCAUUAUUGACUGCUUUUAGUGGUAUUUAGGUUAUUAUUAUUAUUAUUGCACAGUCUCGACACCUGUCAAUUUUUGGCGUCGCUGCCAGGGACUGGCGUUAAUUAUUUGUUUUUUUAAGUUCAAUUUUGUUCUAAUUUUCUGGUAUUUUUUCUAAUUUAUGCAUCAUUCUUCUCGUAUAAGUGAAUUAAUUUUCGACCCUGAAGUAGAGAAGAUCGCGCGUAGAACGAGAAAAGAAACCAGACAAUUCAGAGAAGAGCACUCAAGUACUACAUCUCAGAGACUUGAGCCGGAAGUUGAACCGGCAAAUUCGUUUGGUAACACUUCGAGUGACUCGGAUCAAGAGAAACUCACCAUGGCAAAUGCACAAACAUUAAGGGAGUUGGCUGCUUCUAAUUUAAAUCAACAGCCUUUAUGCAUUGCUUUCCCAAGUUUGAAUGAUGACACCCUCUUUGAACUAAAAUCUGGUCUAAUUCAUCUCUUGCCAUCUUUUCAUGGUUUACCAGGUAAGGAGCCCUACAAACAUUUACAAGAGUUUGAUGUUGUUUGCAACAGUAUGAAACCCCCGGGAAUCACAGAAAAGCUGAUAAAAAUGAGGGCCCUCCCCUUCUCUUUGAAGGAUUCAGCGAAAGAUUGGCUAUACUACCUACCACCAGGUAGUAUCACCACGUGGGACCAGUUGAAAAAAAAAUUCUUAGACAAAUAUUUUCCUGCGUCUCGGGCCGCCAGCUUAAGGAAAGAGAUAUGCGGUAUCAAACAACACCCAGGCGAGUCUCUCUAUGAGUACUGCGAGAGGUUUAAGAAGCUGUGUAUCAAAUGCCCUCAGCAUCAGAUAAGUGAGCAACUGCUCAUCCAAUAUUUCUAUGAGGGACUACUCUUCACGGACUGGAGCAUAAUCGAUGUUGCCAGUAAAGGGGCGCUAGUGAACAAGACCCCUCGAAAAUCUUGGGAGUUGAUUGAGGGGAUGGCUGAAAAUUCACAGCAGUUUGGUGGGCAGUGGCGAUGGCGAAGGCUCGCGGGGGUGGAAGAGCCGUUGGCGCGACUGGGGCCGCGCGGCUGCUAGAAUCUAGUUGCAUCAGUCUCUGUGGUCCUUGGGAUCUUUGAUUCGGCUGUUCCAUAGCUUGUCGAUCCUUUGUUGCAUCCCUGUAGGCAUUGUAAUUCCUGUUGAUUGAGUUGUUAUCUAGUUUUUGAGGGCACCUCUAGUAGUUCCUUUAUUUGGGAGUUAUUUGGGGUUGAGUUGGGAGUUAUUGGCCAAUUGAUUCCUAUUUUGCUUUCGUCCUGUUUCUGGUACUGUAUGGUUUUGAUUGGGGGGUGUCUCAGUGGUUUGGGUUGCCUGUUUGAAUUGGUUCUUACCUGUGUGUGCACCAGUGGUACUGGUUGUGUUGGGAAUCCGUGACUGAUUUGUUCUUGUCCAAUUGAAGCCAUUUUGAGCAAUUUUGGGGUGAACACAUUUUGUCAUUAAUUGUUGAUUGUUGGGGGACGUUUUUGGUAACACUUGAGUUGAUAGGGUGUUAAUUAUUGGUUAUUUUAUUAUUAAUCUCCCUUUUUAUUCUUGCCAAAUAUUGCUUAAUUGUUAAUAUUUACUCAUAUUUGGUAUCUGGACUUAAUUUCAGGAAUGAAGUAGAAAACUACCAAAAAGGAGGGAUUUUAUGGAGAAUAUGGAAACUUCUAAGGGCUUCAAUUCUUGGGCCCUUGAAUUGGUGGGGACCACAAGCUAGUGAAAGGCAUUUAGUCAUUUGAGCUCUUCAAAAGAAGCUACGUAUAUUUUAUUUUAUUUUAUUUUAUUUAUUUUAUUUAUCUCUUAUUUUUUUUUAUAUAGUUUAUGGCUUCUAACACUUCGUAUUUUGGUGAUAUACUGGAUUUUGUUUCCGGGAAAGGCAAUGUGACUAGUUUUUUUGCUAAGUCUGCAUAUGCAGAGGCACUAAACUCUAUUAGAGAAAGAAUGGCUGCUGCAACCUGUAAAAUUUGUUAUACCAGGGAUCAUUCAACCGGUAUGUGCCCCGAAUAUCAAGAUAAUCUGAGUGUCCCAUUCGAUAAUUAUGGAGAAUUUUCACCCUGGUCUCAAACGUGGUACGACCCUAAUCCAAACGGGUAUGAUCAAGGAUGGUGGGAUAACUCCAAUUAUAAUUAUACAACGGGACCAAUGAAUUUUCAGCAGUAUGAGUCUCAAGAAUCGUCAUCUAUGUCAGGUAUGUCUCUUGAAGAAAUAGUUGAACCAAUAGCUACUAACACAUACCAAUUCCAACAGGAGACACAAAUGAGGAAUGAGAUGAUGAAGGAUGCAAUGAGUUAUCUGGCAGAUCAACUAUGUCUAUUGACAUCCAGAAUAAAUCGAUGGGCUUCUCAAAUGGAAGAACUGCCCUCGAAAACCAUUGUUGACCUAGAAGAAAAUGAGAGUGCAAUUUGCUUGACUAGUGAUGAGGAGAUGCAAGAGUGUCAAAAUGAAAAAUCUACAGAUACAGUUGAAAAAGAAGCCGAAAAGGAAGAAAUGGAACCCCAACCGCAACCCAUUCAAGUGAAAGAAUCCAGUGAAGAAUCAUCAAAUGUGGUGACACCACCUCCAUUCCCUAACCCGCAUUUUUUCUAACUCUUACUCUAUGAUUUCUGUUAAUGAGAUUGAUUUUGUUAUACCGGAAGUUUUUGAGUCUCAUGGCAGAAAUAAGUUGAGAGUGGAGAUGGCGAAAUAUCUUGAACCGUUGAAUGCUCUUGAUGGAGGAAUGGAUGAAGAAUUGCGAUCAAUGCUUGAUUAUGUGGCGCCAUCAACUAGUCCAUGGAAGCCCGUGGUUCGUGUGCUCAAAGAUUACUCCAUCUAUGAGGGUUACCAGGAUCAUAUUGAAGAUGAAGCAUUGAAGCGAGCUACAAGAUUUUAUCCUCCAUGAACAAGACAUAACAAUGUCUAGCCAAAGACAUUAAAGAAAGGCGUUUUUUGGGAGGCAACCCAAAUAUUGAUUUUAUUAUUUUUAGUUGUUCAAUUCUUUCGUUCUGUUGUUUCUCAUUUGGAUAGUAGUUGGUCUUGAUAUUUUUCUCCACUGUGAUCAGGAAGUGAAAUCUUGGCGUGCCCACGCGGUGUUUAGGUCUCCUGAGAUCAGAGGACGAACACCAAUCUUGGCGUGCCCACGCGGUGUUUGGGUCUCCUGAGGUCAGUGAAUGUUUUGUAAUCUUGGCAUGCCCACGCGGUGUUUGACGACCCAAAACAUGAAAAAAAAAAAGUUUCAAAAUUUCACAUUGAGAAAAUUCAAAAAUUCAAAAGGCAUUUUUCUUUUUCUUCAAAAAUUCAAAUUUUGGAAUUUCAAAUUCAGGAAAAAAUUUGAAAAAAAAACAUUGAGAAAAAAAAACCCAAAAAGAAAAAAUUAAGAUUCAAAAAAAAAAAAAAACUAUUUUUUUUUCUCUCUUUUUCUUUUUCUCUUUUCUUUUUCUUUUUUCUUUUCUUCUUUUUUCUUUCUUUCUUCCUUCACCACCGCAGCAGCUACCCCACGCGACUCUCCUCCGCCUACCCCAGCGCACAGCCCAGGCCACGCGCUCCCUCCUUCCUGCAGCCCGUCGACGAAGCCCACCAGCCACCACCAGCAGGCCGCGGCUCCUUCCCCCUUGCGCGGCCACAGCUCGCGAACCACCUCUCCCACAGCGCGCGGCCUUCUCCCUUAUCUUUUGGCCGCGCGUCAUUGGCUCGCCCAAGGGCAGCCGCCGCCGCCGUUCCUCACAGUCAAGCAAUCGCAGGCCAAAGCCCACAACCCCAGCCGGCGCCGCCCGCAGCUCCUCGUGCGUGACAGCCGUGCGACGCCGCGCCUCCCUCAGCAACAGCUCCAAGCUCCAGCUCACUCGCAGACAGCCGCGCGAUUCUCAGCCAUUCACCUCGCGCGACCCCGAGCGCACAAUUCCGCGUGCCGCCAUCGAAGACCGCCGCGCCUCUCCCUCAGCCCGCCAUUGCGCCCCACCACUGUCCCGCUGUCUACGGUUGGGCACAAGGGAGGUACUUUUAAAAGAAAUUUUUAAUUUAAAUACGAGAAUGUCAAUUUCUAAAUUCUGGGGCUGUUUAGUGAUUGUUUGGAUUUCUUGGUGGAUUUGGUUGGCCGUCUGAUUAAAUUCUUCCUUGUGUGAUAACCAGUGGUACUGGUUGGGGUCUUUCGACCAUAGUUGUUGCUUAUAUUUGGUCAGAUGUCUGCUUGUUUGAAAGUUCACGUUCUUGUGAUUGAGUUGUUGCUCAAAUUCUGAUCUGCUGUUGCUAGAACUUUUGGUUGGUUGAGUUGUGCAAUUGACUGUCCAAUUGGAGACAGUUAUUGAGAUCUUAGGUGGGAUGGUGUCCAAUUGCUAAAAUUUGUUGCUUUGUUUCGUCACUCGCACUGCUCCUAGUUUGUUCGAGUGAAAUUGGUUGGAUGUUCUUUGCCCGUGGAGUGUAACUGUUACAUUGUUUGGGGCAGUUUUUUGGUAUUGAUUGAAUUGUUGGGCGUAAAUUGCUCAGGACUUUACAUUGCUAAUUUGGUGGGCCAUUUAUUGUGCAUUACCCUUUUGAAUUGGGAGAUACCUGUGCUUAUUGGGUUUUGACUACUUGAGAUUUCUGUUGCAUCUGGGGGAUAAAAUUUGAUGACUUUUGUGCCAGUUUAUUUGUUUGGAAAUUGUUGGGGGUAAUUUGGGAGUUACUUGUCAAUUGGGUCCCGUGUUACCCUCUACCAUUCAGUGGUACUGAUUGGUGUGUUUGGCUUUAUCACAUGUCUUGGGUUGGCCAUUUGAUUUCAAUUUUCCUUGUGCAUGCACCAGUGGUACUGGUGAGGGUAGUUUACAUAAUAUUUGUUACUCCUGUGUUAUUGGUUGCCUAAUCGACUACUGGGCAUUUGUGGUUGAAUUGUUUCUGUCCAACUUCUGAACUGUUGUUGCUGGAGUGCCAUUUUCUUGGGUCAAUUGCUGAUUUUAGCAAGUUGAAGUGGGUAAUUGACUGUCCAAUUGGAGACAGUUGUUACGAUAUUGGGUCCGAUUGUGUCUAAUUGCUGGAAGUUGUUGAUUUAUUAAGACACUAGCACAGUUCCUAGUUUGUUCGAGUUGCUGUUCUGUUGCAUUAUUGGGAGCUGUGCUCUAGUAUUGUGGCUACUUUCCUGCGUUUAUUUGUUGAAUUGGGAUAUGAAUGUGCCUAUUGCUCAUUUUGUUGCAUCUAAUUGACUUGCUUGGGGUAAUCUGCCCAUCAAUUUUAAUUACUCAAGUCUUUGGAGCAGUUGUUGCACAUUUGGACUACUUUGUUUCUAUAUCUGACUGAAUUGGGACCACAAGUGCUUAUCAAUUGCAUUUGCUAUAAGUAUUGGGGUAUUCGUAUAGAUUUUAGGAGCCUGCAUUGUGCAUUUUAUUGUUUGGGUUGCCUACUAGUUACCAUGGUGAAGCCACGAUCCUCCCCCAGGGGCCGAUGACUGGCUCCAACUUUCGAUGACAGUUGAGAGACUGGAGACUCGAGUGACCCACAUUGACAUCGACUUGCAUAACAUGGCGCAGAAUUUGGCAGCACUCCGCCCGACCCGCCCCUGUUUUGACAAUUUCAAGGAAGUACCGUUGCCCUUCUCUUUACUUUUGUUGUUGGUUUAUCACAUUGAGGGCAAUGUGUGAUUUAGGUGUGGGGGGAUCAGUUUGGGUGCUAGUAUUUUUAGUUUUUAGGUUCUAGAGGUUUUUCUUUUGUUUUAGUUUGAUAUUUAGUUCUUUUUUUUUCGUCUAUUUUAUUUUAUUAUUAUUAUUUUUUUUUCUUUCUCCUUUUUUCUAGUGGUCAGUCUUCAUAUGAAUACCAAGUUUGAUACUGGAUUGUUGUCUCUAAUUCUGCUAUUGCCAAGUCUUAUUAAUAAAAGGGUAUUAAGUUAAUGUGCUUGAGUUCAGGAAUAUCUCUUUGGUGAAUAUCGGUAAUUGCUUAACUUUUUCAAUUUUUGGUUAACUUUUCUAGGCAUAGGGAAUGAUUGUUGGCAUUUUUCAUGUGAAUUGGUUCAGUUAUUAAUUUUAGUUCUCCAUGUCUGGAAAUUUGAGGCUGGCUGCUGUUAAUCUUAUGUUGCUUUUAGAUAUCGUGUUAUAUGGUUGUAAAUAAGAGUUGACUGUACUCCGCUAGUGGUUACUACUGAGUAACCGGGGAUUUUCACCUAAAGUGUCGAUUCUCGCGUCAAAAGGUAGUAGUUGCUAUGAAUGCGUGGUCCUGUAGCGAUCGGAGCUGAGUAACCGGGCUCCUCCAUCUGAUAAAUGUUGGAGUUCGCGUCAAAAGGCUCUAAAUGGCUAGAGACUAAGUCUUUUGCUAUUCCCAAAAAAAAAAAGAAAAAAAACAAGUAAAGUUUGUGUUAGUAUUUAAAAAAAAAAAAAAGAAAGUCAGCUUGCCUAUUUGUGAUCUUAAUGUCGAGAUUUUGGUUAAUAGAUGGACCAUUUGCUGAUAAAUGUGAGCAACCAUUCCUUUUCCUUAGAUUAGUUUGCUUCAAAUUGAAGGAGUUGGUGGUUUAGAGGCUAAUCGGGGUGAUUUUUCUUGGAUGUUGACCUGUGAUGCUUGAUAUUUAUUUUUCUUGGACAUCUUGGCAAUACGGUAGUUGGAGUAACAGCCAUGGUCAACUUUUGGUGUUCAAUUGUUGUUCCCAUACUUGAGGGCAAACAUGAUUUAGGUGUGGGGGGAAUUGAUAGGGUGUUAAUUAUUGGUUAUUUUAUUAUUAAUCUCCCUUUUUAUCCUUGUCAAAUAUUGCUUAAUUGUUAAUAUUUACUCAUAUUUGGUAUCUGGAUUUAAUUUCAGGAAUGAAGUAGAAAACUACCAAAAAGGAGGGAUUUUAUGGAGAAUAUGGAAACUUCUAAGGGCUUCAAUUCUUGGGCCCUUGAAUUGGUGGGGACCACAAGCUAGUGAAAGGCAUUUAGUCAUUUGGGCUCUUCAAAAGAAGUUACAUAGAGAGACUUGGAGAAAGAAGUACUUUGGAGGCUUUGUCCAUAUGUGUGGGGACCACCUAGAUAGCUUUUAGUCAUCUUUCUUUUGUUGCUUUAAAAGGGGACAACGUACAGAAGCAAAGGACAUCUAGGGCUUUAGUUUUAGUUUUUUUAGUUUAGUUCUAGUUUCCUUUCUUUGGACUGGCCUCUGACACACGCCAGGUGUUCGACAAUAUUCCCCAACGGGAAGAUUUUCUCAUGAGGCGUGGUUAAGCUUUUCUAGUCAAGGGGACAACUGACGAUUUGGUUCGACAAUUACUGUGAGAUCGAAUCUGUUUUAAUUAUUUUCUUCAUUUAUUGGUAUUUAUAUGUUCCUUGAUUUUAAUUGCUAUGGCCUUGUGUAUGAUUGAUUAGUGCGCAAUAAUUAAUUAUUCAUAUAGGCUAUUUUUGCUAAAUAGGGGUAAUUGAAUCCGUAAUUGUUCGUUAUCUCUACCUCAGUAGCAACUGGCGUAAAUGGGUUUAUGUCAGGGGAGCAUAUGAUCUAAUUUAAACAAACCCUCGUAGCGUGUUUGUUGGUUAGGAUUGGGCCUUUCUAAUUAUUAAUGCAAUCUAGAAAUUAAAUCCUACGGUCGUACCUAGGGUUGUUUUUGGGUUAGAGAAAUAGCUAACGGUCGUACCUUAGCUAUCGAGAAAUUAAGGAAGGGUUGGUUGUUUAUCGCGUGCAUGACAACUAUAACUAAUCUAUUGCUAAAUGUUGGAAUUAUUUCUGCAUCAAUGAUCAGUGCAUGAACCAUUUCUGAUGUGUACCCUUGGCUAGAGUUUCCCCAAUCAUUUCUUUUAAUUAAUUAUUUUCUGCAGUUAAUUUAUUUAGUUAGCAUUUAAUCCAAAACCCCCCAUACUUUGGACUCUAGAAGAAACGAAUUAUCCCCAAUCCCUGUGGAUUCGACCCUACUCACCGCUAUAUACAAAAUCUGUAUCUUUAUUGAGUAGGUAUUUAUUAUUGUACAGGUUCGGCACCUGUCAAUUUUGGGGUGAACACAUUUUGUCAUUAAUUGUUGAUUGUUGGGGGACGUUUUUGGUAACACUUGAGUCUAUUUUGCUGAGUUCUGUUGAUAGAGCAGUUAUUUGGCACAUUUUACAGUGUUAUUUUGUCCUAAUUUUGGCUAUUCAUGGUGUUAAGAAUUGGAAUAUCACUCAUAUUUGAUGUUUGUGUGAAUUGUAGGUGGUCGGCAUUAAAAAUGACCUCUCAAGGCAAAUUUCUAGAAGACUCUUCGUCUCAGAGCAUGGCCACGCCAGAGAAGGUCGAUGUUACCGAAAAGCCGGACCCCGGUCCACGUGAACCGCAAGGAGCACGGGAUUAAAGCUCUAAAAGGCUAGCUUUUGUUUCAAUCAAUUGGGUCAGACAUGACUUGGCUCCUAGAGGCUUCAAUUAAAAAAGAAAAGAAAGGGCCAGACGUCGAGGGAAUGAGAAUGAGGAAACUAGGUCUACAUGGACCAGCUACACGGGAUAAAAACUCCAAUGAAGAGAAGAGCUCUGCUCCGCGUGGAUUUCCCCUGCGGCACUAUAUAAGACAACAAAAAAGGUGAUGCAGCGGAGAAUAUAGAUUAGCUUUGAUUUUCUUUUCGAGAGGGGUCAGGCGAUUGCAGACUUUUGUAGCUUUUCGGUUGUGACACUUGGACUCCUUGGCUUUUGUUUUGACUCUGCACAAUUUACGUUAGUUUUUGUUCGUACACUUGCGGCACCAAAGCAAAGACGAAGGCAGUGCCUUCUCUGUUGUUACUGCAAUUAAUUCCCCUUCCCCAAUUUUCGGCGAAUAAUUGAAUGAAUUCAAUUAAAUCACGCGGGAUUGACACGAUAAGGAGCGGCUAAUUUUCUCCUCUACCCAAAGGUUGACGCGAAGGCGCGGUCCAUAAUAUCUGUGAGAUCUAAUCGAAUUUUCAUUAUUUCUUUCAAUUUAUUGCUAUUCGUACGUUUCCUGAAUUAAUUGUUCAUGAGUAUUUUACUAAUUGAAUAUCAACGGCCGGGUAUUUGAUUUAAUUUAAUAGUCUACUGCCACGUUAAUUAAAUAGAAUCCGUAAUUGUUCAUUUAGUUAACACCUCGUGGCAACCACCAUAAUUGGCUUUAUGAUGGGAAAACGCAAGAUCUAAUUUAAAUAAACCCUCUUAGCGUAUUUAUUGGUUAGGGUUGGAUUCUUCUAGCUUUAAUGCAAUUGGGUAAUUAAAUUCUCACGGUCGUACCUAGGGUUGUUAUCUGGUUAGAGAAGCAGUCAAUGGUUGUACCUUGACUAUCGAAAAAGUAAGGAAGAACUGGUUGUCAGAGCUUAUUGAUAACUAUAACCAACCUAGUGAUGAAUGGAUGAAAUACCUUUGCAUUGAUGAGCAUCUGUCUUGAGUCCAUUGAAGUGCCGUUGGUUGAGUAAUUUCUGCGUCUUUUUGUUGAAUUGGAAGGCUAUUGUGACACUUCCAUUGCACUUUCGGAAUGCAUUGUUUCUGUAUUUGACUAAAUUCAGGCCACCAGUGCUUCUUGAUUGCAAUCACUGUGCUGUUGGGGUAUUUGUACAGCUUUGAGUACCUGAAUUGUGUUUGUGUUGGUUGGAGUACCAUUUAUAGAGAAUGGUGAGACCUAAAUCCUCCUCUAGGUCUAGGACACCUAGAACUUCUCAGCCUCCUCCCACCCUAGGGGCUAACGAUUGGCUCCAACUCCGAAUGCAAGUUAAGAGACCGGAGAUUCGAGUGACCCACAUUGACAUCAACUUGCAUACCAUGGUGCAGAAUUUGGCAACAAUUAUGCACCAUGCGGGUCUUGUUCCUCAGUUUCCGUCUGACCCACCCCUGUUUUGACGACUUCAGGGAAGCACCGGUGCUCUUUUGCUUACUUUUGCUAUUAAAUUAUCACAUUGAGGGCAAUGUGUGAUUUAGGUAUGGGGGGGAUCAGUUGUGGUACUAGUAUUUCCAGUUUUUGAUUUUUAAGUGUUUUUCCUUUGUUUUUAGUUUGAUAUUUUUCUCUUUUUCGUUUAUUUCUUUUAUUCGUGAUCAGCUCUUAUUUGAAUACCAAGUUUUGAUGUUGGAUUGUUGCCUCUAAUUCUGCUCUUGCCAAGUUUUAAUAAUAAAAGGGUAUCAAGUUAAUAUGGUUGAAUUCAGGAACAUCUCUUUGGUGAAUAUCAAUAAUUGCUUAACUUUUCCAAGUUUUGGUUAACUUUUCUAGGCAUAGGGAAUGAUUGUUGGCAUUUUUCAUGUAAAUUGGUCCAAUUAUUAAUUUUAGUUCUCUAUGUUUGGAAAUUUGAGGCUGACUGCUGUUAUUUUUAGUUAUUGUGUUAUAUGAUUGUAAAUAAUAGAUAACUGUACUCCAUUAGUUGUUACUACUGAGUAACCGGGGAUUUUCACCUAAAGUGUCGAUUCUCAUGUCAAAAGGUAGCAGUUACUAUGAGUGCGUGGUCCCGUAGCGAUUGGAGCUAAGUAACCGGGCUCCUCCAUCUGUCAAAUGUUGGAGUUCGCAUCAAAACGCUCUAAGGGUUAUAAACUAAGUCUUUUGUUAUUCAAAAAAAAAAAAGAAAAAAAGAAGCAGAAGAAAACAAAAGAAGCAGAUUGUGUUAGUAUAUGAAAAAGUCAGCUUGCCGAUUUGUGAUCUUAAUAUCGAGAUUUUGGUUAAUAGUUGGACCGUUUGCUGAUAAAUAUGAGCAACCAUUCCUUUUUCUUAGAUUAGUUUGCUUUAAAUUGGAAGAGUUGGUGGUUGGGAAGCUAAUCGGGGUAAUUUUUCUUUGAUCUUGACCUGUGAUGCUUGAUAUAUGUUUUUCUGGAUAUCUUGGCAAUACGGUAGUUGGAGCAAUAGCCAUUGUCAAAUUUUGGUGUUCAAUUUCUGCUCUCAUGCUUGAGGGCAAGUAUGGUUUAGGUGUGGGGGGAAUUGAUAGGGUGUUAAUUGUUAAUAAUUUUAUUGCUAUUUUUCCCCUUUGUCCUUGCCAAAUAUUAUUUUAAUUGUUAACAUAUACUUAUUUUUGGUAUUUGGACCAAUCUACAGGAAGUGGAACUGACAAAUGCUAAAAAGGAGAUUUUAUUGAGAAAAAUCCUUCACAUGCUAGAGCCUCCAGCGGAUAUACAAGUUGGGCCCACAUGGUGUUACAAAUUCGGUUGCUGAUGGGGAGCUCUUAUUAUUGGGAGUUGACUUGUACGUGUAGGAGUCCUCCUACCAAGAGGAAACAAGAAAAAAGGAAUUCGGCAGAGGCCCAUCUUUUGUACUUAGCUUUCUCAAUUCGGUAGGGACCAUGGACUAGAGGUUUUCAUUAGUGAUUGGACUUUAAAAGGGAAGAAACGUAUAGAGGCUUGGGGAUUAUUAUGAUUAGCGUAGCUUUAGUUUUAGUGGUUAGCUAGCGUUUCCUUUUCAUGCGCACGAGGUGCUCGACAAUAUUUUUCAACGGGAAAAAAAAACAUCUUUUACUCUUGCUUUCUAGUGAAAAACUUGAUGCCUUUGCAAUCAAUUAAUUUGCGUGGAGAUUUAAUUAUGCGGCGUGGCUAAGCCUUUCAUCUAGUUAAGGAUCAACUCGAUGGUACAGUCCCAAAUAUCUGUGAGAUCUAAUUAGUUUUCACGCGUUUCUUAAUUUGUUAAUAUUUGCACGUUGCCUAUUUGAAUUUUCAAGGGAUUAUUUUGUUAAUUGGAUGUCAAGGGCCCGAUGUUCAAUAUGGCUUAUUAAUCUCCUUCCAAAUUAGUCAAUUAAAUCCGUAAUUGUUUGAUUGAUUAAUAUUAGUGGCAACUGGCGUGUUUAUACACUAGGGGAACGUGCAAUCUAAUUUAAAUAACGCUCGUAGCGUGUUAUUGAUCGGGGUUAGGUUUUUCUAGUUAUUAAUGCAAUUGAAAAAUUAAUUCCUACGAUCGUACCUAGGAGUAUUUUCUGAUUAGGAAUAAUCAAUGGUCGUACCUUGAUUAUCAAUAAAUAAAAGAAAAAUUGGUCGUUAGAAUUCGUCGGCGACUAUAACUAGCCUAUUAAUAAAUUAAGUGAACCUCCCUUGCAUCAAUGAUCGAGUAAGUGGACUGUGUCUGAGUAGUUGUAUCAUUGGCUAGAAUUUAUCUAUUCUUGAUUUAAUUCCUGCCUAUAUUCGUGCAAGUUAAUUAUUUAUUUUUAGUGAAUUUUUUAAUUAUUUUUAGUUUUACUCCGAUAAAAUCCUCCUUUAUCAAUUGGAAUCUCAAAGAGACAAAUAUCCCCAGUCCUUGAGGAGAUGACUCUACUUGCCACUGUCUACUAUUUAGUAAGUUUUGUCAACUAAUUAAUUCUGAUAUAUCGGAUUAAGCAAACUUUUCGAGAAUAGGGUGAAUCAAGUAACCCAUUACACACCUAGAGUCCCUGCUCCAGUAUUUAGGAUUAAUUAUUGACUGUUUUUAGUGGUAUUUAUAUUUUUAUUAUUAUUAUUGCAUAGGCUCGACACCUGUCAAUUUUUGUGAUGUUGACCCAAACAACAAAGGACGGGUUAUGUGAUGUUGACCCAAAUAACAAGUCUUCACUAGUGAAUGUGAUAUUUGUGAUAUCCACCUCUUUAUUACCAGUGGGCACGUGAGUUAUCUCACAAGGAGAUUCGCGAGUAUCAUCCUUUGUUCUUCAAUAUCAUCAACUUGCGUUGUGUGACAUGAGACCAUAUCAAUAUCAAAGAAUCUUUUAGAUAUGAAUUCUUUUAAAAUGAUAGAAACUCGCGACUUUUGCUUGAAUACUUGAUUUUCUUGAAGAUUGUGAUUAUUAUUAUUUUUCUCUAUAUUCUUCUCUUUUCUCUUCCAGACCAUUCUACUUCUUGUUAAGGCCUUGUUUACCUUAUUAGAUGGACGAGAGUUUCAUCUUCAUCUUCGCGUGAUCAGAGUUCAUCCAUCAUCAUCUACGUCUGAUUGUAAUGACUUCUCAUCUUCAUAUUCAUAUUUUUGAAGAGCUGAAGGGGCGAUUUUUUGUUCAACUUCUAUAGGAUCAAAUGAUCCAAAUUGAAUGGUUGGCAAUAUAGGUAUCGUAAACUUUUCGACUUCCAUGGACUGUAGUGAAUCAACGGAGGUUUGAUUCAUACUUGCUUUGUUUUUUUCAAGAAAAUUUUUUUCUUGUCUUGCCAAAUCCAUCAUCUCAUCUUUAAAGACAAAGUAUUUUUGAAUGGGAUGUCCAACCAAGCAAUGAUACUUGAUUUGGAUCAUCCGUAUUACUAAUCUCGUCAAGUCAGUUCAUCUUGGAAGCAUGAUCAAGUUCAUGCUUAACAAAUUAUCAAAUAUACUAGGAACAUCAGAAUCAAGGAAAUUGUACUUCUUGUUUUGCAUCUCCUUGAGUGUUGGUUUUUUCUUUCCUUCGUCUUGAUGCAUACUGGUUUUCUUGUCUUCUCUUUUAGCAGUUCUGAGAAUAAUCUUGAAAGGUGUUAUACUUGCAGCUAUGGCCUCUUUCUCACUUUGAUUGGGGGCUUGCCUCCUUUCCUCACUUCUUGUUUCUCCUUAGCCUUGCGAGAAUCAGGAAUUGGCGGCUCUUGUCCAUCAAGGUUAAUUUCUAUCUUAUGAGUUUUUGGGGAUAAUUCAUCAAAUAUUUCUGGUUAUACCCCUUACAAGAUAUAUCUGAAUCCCCAAUGCAAGUCUUGAAUACACAUCUCAAUAGCGGAAGACUCGAAAAUUCGAUCCUUACAGUUUAGGCUUAGAUUUUUUCGAGCGAUUGAUAAAGUUAAUAACAUGUUCAUUCUUUCACUAGCACAUAUUUUAGAGUUCAAUUAUGCUGACAGUCCUUUUCGUGCUAUAGAAGCAAUUAAGGAAUUCCUACUCUAAUUGCUCCCAACUGUCAAUGCUGCUAGAUUCUAAAUCUGUGUACCAAUCAAACGUGUUACCCUUCAAUGAGUGAACAAAUUGCUUAACUAGCAAGUCACCAUUAGUGCCAGCAUUGUUACAAUUUUCGACAAAGUGCGCAAUAUGUUGUUUAGGGUUACCUUUGUCAUCAAAUUAUUGAAACUUUGAAAAUUGAAAUCCUACAAGCAUCUUCAAACAUUUACUCUUGUGGUGUAAGGUUUGAUAUAAUUGCUAUAUGACUUGGUAUUUCCACCAAUCUUGUCCUUGAUCGUACCUUUGAUAAACUCCUUUAAAUUAUCAACAUGAAUGGUACUAUCAGGAGAGAUUGAAAACUCCUUCAUUAUUCGUGACUUGGUAUCCUCUUUCUCUUUCUUCCUUGAUGAUGAGUUACCUUCAUAUUUUUUACCAUGGCCAUUAGUUUGGCUAUUUUGGCAUCUUGACUUUGCACGUGCCCUGCUAGCCCUUCGACAAUUUGGCAAGAUUUGAAAUUUGAUCUCUACGGUUGUGGUGUUAGUCAUCAUGAUGGGCAUUACCACAGAAGUAGCUAAAUUGCUUGAGCUAUCAGCAGAUUCAUCAUGGACUCCCUUCUUGUUGGGAAAAAUCUCAAAAUUUUUUCUUUCAACCACAGCAUUCGCCUUAACCCUAUCUACUAAUUUCUUAGCCUUGCUCCUUGUCAUAGGUGUAGUAUACUGCAUCUCCUGAGUUGUUGGGAUGCCAGCAACUGAGCCUUCAAGAGCAAAACUCAUCUUCUUGGACUCCAUUGAUUCUUGAAACAAGUAAGCUAUUCAAAGAAAAGAGAUGAAAAACAGAGAUGGUCCCACCAGACGUGUCAUAAAAUUUGUGAGCAUAAAUUUUGUUGCCUAAAAUAAAGACAAGAAAAUUUGCAUAAAUAUCAAAUUUAUUAAAUCAAAUAAUAAAUGGGUUAUAAUUUUUGAAAAUUCUUGAAUUAAAGAUAUUAAUCUUCUAAUUCUUCUCUUCAAAAACUUCAAUUGAAGGGUUGAAAAGACUUGUUUACCGAUCAAGAGGGUGUUUCCUACGAUUUUGACAUAGAAAACCGCUGAUUUGAUGAUGACGUUAAAUAGUUGAUGUUGGGUUUGGAUUUUAUUCCACCAAUCGUUCAUUUUGUUGGAUUUGAGUUUUAUACCACCAACUGUGGGAUAAAACCCAAUCCCAAUAAAAUGAACGGUUGGUGGGAUAAUACUCAAAUCCAAUAAAAUGAAUGAUUGGUGGGAUAAAAUCCAAACCCAACACUUGUAUCUUUAAAUCUUCAAUGUCGAUAGAAGGAGGAUUUAUUUUAACUUGAUUUGGAUUUGAAUUUAAGGGAAAAUGCUCUCGAGAGAAUUUGACAGAAUUUCUUCAAAAUUUAGAAAUUUCAAUGUGUUUUUGUACUAAGAGAAUACCUUUAUUUAUAGGCAAAAUAUGUAGAUUAUGUCUUCAAGAAAAUUCUCCAGAACCUUCUUGCGUUUGGGUAACUUGUACCUCAAGAAACUCAUUUAACUUAGGUUUAAAUAGUGGGCCUAUUCAAAUAAUCCAUUGUGAAUUAAUACAUCAAUUAAUCCACUUUAAUUUAAAUGGGUAACACAUUGAUUUGAUUUGAUUUAAUAGCCCAUAUAUCAUUGGUCUAUUUUGUCAAUCAAAACAUAAUAGACUGCUAUAAUUUAAUUUAAUGUAAUCAAGAUCAAUUUAAUUUAUUUAAUCUUGACUAAAUAAAUUUUCUUUGUCUACAGCAUGUACGUGUAAUUUUCCAAAUAAUGAUACUUUUCAAAGAGAGUUUUCAAAUAAUGAAAGUUCUAAAACAAGGCAUUCACCGAAUGCGUGAAUGUAUCUUUUUAAACAACGCAUUUAGUCAAUACGUUUUUAAGGAAAAAUGCCUAUACAAAUAAAAGAAUGAAUUCUAUAAAUGUGUCUUUUGAGGAAACAACACAUUUACUAAGUACGUUUUUUCACUCUUUGGGAAGAAGUUCAAAAAACACCACCAUUUGAAAGGUAAUUUUAGAAAAUCCCACUUUUUGAGAAUUUACUCAAGCUUGUACUUGACAAAAUGUGUUGGGAAAAUUGUGACGUCAGGUGAAUUGUAAAACUGUUGUGCCAUCGUAAUGUAUGUUUUGCACUAGAUUGAGUAAGAAUUAUAUCAAAAUAGUCGGCCACAAUAUAGGAAUGUGAAAACUUUGUGUUAAGUAAGUUGUAAUAUUUUUGUAUCAUCUAACGUAUAUUUGAAAACGAUUGAGAAUAUAAUAUAUGGAAACAACAGGUCACAAUGUUGAAAUGUCAAACCUCUUGUUUCAAACCAAAUACUUAUUAAACUCCUUCAUAUCGCUAACGAAUUUUGAUUCUGAAGUAAUAAUAGUUUUAUUUAAUUAUUUGCCUUUUUUGGAACAAUAUUAAAAUGUAGCCAUAAAUUUAAAUUCCAAAAUUGUUGAAUACUUGAGGAAUUCUAGAAAUGGCACUGAGAGUCAAAGUUCACCUUAUUCAAAAGUCACCAGCCAUCUCAGAGUGCAUGUUUCUAUUGAGUUUCAGGUUCAAUGUGUACCCACUUCCACUUUUGGCUGAUCAAUCAGGACUAAGGUUCCGUUUGAUAAAACUGAAUCUGAAUUCUGAAAUCUGAAUACUGAAACAAUUAAUUUGCUGAAUUUUAAGUUCUGAAAAGAAAUAUAUGAAUGUCUGAAUUUUAAUGUUAAAUCUAUUUCUACUGUUUGAUAAACAUUUAUAACUGAAUGCUUAAUAAGUUAAAUUUGACAAAUUUGCCCUUAAUCUUUUCAUCCAAAAAAGAAGUAGAACCUAUGAUUUAAUUAGGUAAAAAUGUUAGGUAUGAAAAUGACAAUAUUUAUUUUUAAAUCAAAUUAAUAUAAAAGAUGAAAUAUAUUAUAUGCGGAGUGGAGAAGAUGUAAAAAUCAUUCAAAAUGGAGAAAAAAGAAAUAGAAAAUCAUUAGAUAGAGAAUAUUAGAUUGUUUAAUUAGAUAAGAAUUUUGAACAUAAUUAACAAACAAUGGUAGAUUUGAUAGAUAAGAUAAGGUAAUUGAAGUAAUUCUAUUGAUUCUUAUCAGAAUUAAGUAUUCAGUUAGGAUUUUUGUGCUGAAAAAAAUACACACAAUUUCAGCACUACUUAACAAGUUCAGCAAAUAGAUUUUCAUUUAUCAAACAUUCAAAACAUCUAAAUGUCUAAAAAAAUUUAGAUUCAACACUUUUUUAUAUUAUUAAACAGACCCUAAGAGAAUAAAAUAACUUGCUUGCUGUUAGCGAUGGCAACGGGGCGGGGUUGGGGCGGGGGACCCCUCCCCCGUCCCCCGCCCCGUUGCCUAUUAGUUCCCCCUGUCCCCCGCCCCCCCCCCCGCUUCCCCCGCGGGGUUAAUAAAAUUUUAUUAUAAUUAAAUUUUAAUAAAUAAUCAAUUACUAAAAUAUCAACACAUCACCAAAUUAUUAUUCAUUGUAAUUUUACAAUUAAAACUCAUAAAAACAAUCAAACAAAAGUUAUUUGAAUACAAUCCAAUAUGAUGAAAUAAAUAUAACUAAAAUAGUUAAGUUUUCGCUUUUAGUACAAAUGCAAUCACUAAUUCAUUAUUGUGUUUGUGCUUUUCUUUUGAGAAAAAAGUGUUAUUCUAUUAAGUGUAAUUAGAAAUUUAGUAUAAAUGUAUUAGUAAAUUUAGUAUAACUAAUUAAUAAAUUUUAUUAGUAGACAUGUAUAAUUAUUCAUAUAAUUGAUAAUAUCAAUUAUAUUACAUAAACUACUAUACAUUAUAUAAUACAUCUAACUAAUAAUAUCAUUAUCAUAAGUUUAUAACUAAUUAACUUACAUAUUAUAUAUAAUUAUAUAUAUAUUUUUUUUAGGGUGGCGCGGCGGGGGAUGGGGCGGGGGUAUACUCCCCCGUCCCCCGCCCCGUUUCUAAGCGGGGGGAAAAAUUCCCCCCCCCGCCCCAACCCCCGCCCCGAGAGCCCCCCGUGGGCACCCGCCCCCAUUGCCAUCCCUACUUGCCGUUUUUAAAAAAGGAUUCAUUAUUUUUUCUUUGAGCAUUGGUAUCUCCACCCUCAAUGACACUAAUCUGGAUUCAAUAUGAGGAGUGUCCGUAGAGGCUGACUCUUACUCGAGAGUAAAGACUUGACCCAGAGCUUUUCAAGGCGUCAUCAUAUGUAGGAGUCAAACUUAUGAACUCUGUGCAUAGAUAAUUUAGCUCCAGUCUGUGGAAUGUCUUGAUGUUAGGUGAGUUGUAAUAUUUUGGUAUCAUCUAAUGAAAUUUUUAAAAGAUUGAGAAAUAAUAUAGAGCAAAACACCAAUUUAUUCCCUAAAUUAUUUUGCUAAAAUCAAAAUACUCCGUAAAUUUAUUUUGAGUCAGUUUAGUCCCCCAACUAUUUUUACAAAGCUGAAAUAGUCCUUAAACUUUAUUAUGAGCCAAUUUAGUCUCUCAACUAUUUUGUUUAAGUGAAAUAGUACCCCACCUUUAUUUAUUUGGCCAGUUUGGUCCUUGUUUGACUCAUCCACCCAAUUUAUCAACCUUGUGCACUAACAAUCAGGGGCAAAAUAAGAAAUUUAGUCAAUGCCCUUACUAAAAUGAUAGAAGAAUUAGAUAUCUGGCAAAAUUAAAAACAAAAUUGAAUCAUAUAGAGAACAAAAAAAUAUAGUGUUUCUUAUGGAGGAAAAAAAUGGAGCUGAUGCCUAAAAUCUCACAUGGAUCCAACUCAGUCCAUUGAAUGGAGAAAAGGGAAAAUAACACAACAAGAAUAUGUUAAAAGUUGGAAAAUGUGCUAUAAUUAUGAUUACUCCUUUAAGAAAUAAAGCUGAAAGAAGCUCAAUUUCUUUUUGUUUUCCAUAUUAUUCAAUUUCGUUGUCGAUUUUUCGAUAGAUGUAUGUUUUUUUUUUUGUUUUAAUAAGGGCUAUGAUUGGAUUUCCUAUUAUGCCAUUGGCUGUCGAUGCUACACUUGAUAAAUUAGAUGGAUCAUCCAAAUAAAGACAAAAUUGGCUAUGUAAACAUUAGUGAGGGACUAUUUCAGCUUAAGAAAAAUAGUUGAGGGACUAAAUUGGCUUAUAAUAAAAUUAGGGACUAUUUCAGCUUUGUAAAAAUAGUUGAGAGACUAAAUUGACUCAUAAAAUGUUUAGGGACUAUUUUGACAUUAAGGAAAUAGUUUUGGGACUAUAAACAUUAGGUCACAAUGUUGAAAUAUCAAAACCCAUGUUUUGGACCAAAACUCAUAGAACUUCUUCACGUCGCUAACGAAAUUUGAUUAUGAAGUAAUGCUAAUUUUAUUUAUUAUUUGUUUCCUUGCUGGUCUUCUGUCUUUUUGGUUAUUCCAAAAUUGUUGAAUAUUUAAACGAAUUCUAGAAAGGGCACUGAGAGUCAAAGUCUUAUUCAAACAGCCAGCUAUCUCAAAGUACAUAUUUUUUUAUUAUCAGGUUCAAUAUGUAUCUAUUGCAAUUUUUGAAUGACCAGCCAUGACUAAGAGAAUAAAAUAAUUCACUUGCUGUUUUUAGAUAUGAAUUCAUGACUGUCAGUAGUCUAUAAAUACACUUAUUGCUCACCACUCUUUGCACCGCAAAAUCUCUUCAAGAUCCAACAAACCCUCCUGUUCUUGGUCUUUGUCCAUUUGUGAAAAAACAAAUUAAAGCGUCAUGGCCCCUAUCACUUGUAGUGCUGAGAUGACCUCCCCAAUCCCUCCUGCAAGGUUGUUCAAGGCCGCCAUCCUUGAUGACCACCCUUAAUGCCACAGGCUAUUAAGAGUGUGGAAAUCCUUGAAGGAGAUGGUGGCGUUUGAACCAUUGAGUUGAGCACAUUUGGUGAAGGUUAGAUGUUAUAUUAAAUGUAGAACCCCAAAUUUAAGGAUCUAAUAAUAAUCAAUGCGUGCAGGGUUACAGAAUUGGAGGGAUAAAACAAAUACUCAAAAUAUACGUGGAAGAAAAGAAAAAUAAUAAAUUCAACUCACAAUAUUAUUGAAAUUUCAAACAAUGAAGAAAAUCAUACCACAAUGAAUUCAACUGGUUCUAAUAAUAAUCAAAGCAUACAAGGUUACAGAAUUAAAAGGAUAAAACAAACACUCAAAAUAUAUGUGGGAGAGAAGAAAAUAAUAAAUUCAACACACAAUAUUAUUGAAAUCUCAAACAAUGAAAAAAGUCACACCAUAAUAGAAAACCUUGCUAAUGCUUCUAGAUUCUUUCUCUUGAGAAACCAACCUAAAUAAUGUUCUAUUUAUAAUCUACCAAACUUGUUAGGAAAGAAACCACUUGCAUAAGAAAUUACCAAAUAAUACAGAAAUUCCUAAAUCACACAACUACUAAAAACAUAACUCAAAUAAAACUAAAAAAUAAAUAAAUAUUACUAGGCUUAGUUUAAUUUGUCAACAUUGCCUCCUUUAAACCAUACUAUCCAUUGAGAUAGGUUCAACACCAUCUCGAGCAAUAAUUUCUAUGCAAAUCUAUGUUGUAGUACACUUGACAUGAAACUCUAACUUGUUACCAGUUAUUAAUUUCAUUUUUACACGUAACAGUGGACACACUAUGUAUUGUGUAAACAACUUCUCAGCAAUUUCUUCUUGAUCAAAGAACUCACUUAUACAAACCCAUUCAUCACCAGAAUCACCAUAUUUACCACCAAUGUAAGUGCCUAAAAAUACAAAAUCAUAGAUUUCUUUCUCGCUAAAAUUAUCAUCACCAAAUAAUUCAAAAUAACCACUACUACAAUCAUCCAAAAUUUUCAUACUGUCAGUCAACUCUUUUGGAGUAAAAUAUUUUUCAACUCCGAUGACAUCCAUAUCUAUUAAAUCAAACAUUCUCCCAUCACUUUGAAGAGAGUCCGAACCAACGAAUUUUUCAACAACAAUUUCAUGUUCUCUUCUCUUAUCAAAUCAAAAUUUUUUUCUUCUUUUGUCAAAUUACCAUAUUAUUUUUUUCAACAAAUUCAUUACUUCUAAUUUCUCCAAACAAGGUACGCAAAUCAAAACUAUCAAUUGAUUCAAAAUUUUCGAUAUCACCCAUAUUAUCAACAAAUCUAUCAUUUUUAAAAUCCACAAACCAAUACCAAUAAAUAGACUUCGGUUUGAAAGCAUAAUUUCUCCCAAUCGUGUGCAAAACAUAGUAAAUAUCCUUCCAAAAUCUCUAAAGUAUUUUAAUUAGUACGACCAAUAAAGGUUUUAUAAACACUUUUUGCCAUUAUUUUACGCAUCACUUGAAAGAAUAAUUGUGCCUUUUUCUUAAAAACAUGUUUUGACAACUUACUUGCAUCAACCCAACAAAGAAUAUCAUCCAAAUUACAUUGUUUAACAUAUUUUUCCACUAUUAAAAUCCAACCAAAAUAUGUAUGUCCAUUUGUGCUUAUAGGAGUCAAUAUGAAAAAUUUUUCACCGUGAAUCAGAUCUUUAUAAUAUUCCAUUAUUUAACAAUUUGUAUACCUGGAUAAAUUUUUUUCCUCCAUCCUGUCAUGUUUUCUUGGCCUCCCUGGUUGACUAACCAAAUUAUUGUUGUAUGUAUACCCAUGCUCGUCAAACCUCAUUUGUGUACACUCGUAAGGAGUGGUUCUGAGCUUCUUGUGAAUGCUCAGUACCAAGAAGUAGAAGAGAGAAUGCAUAAGAGAGAAUUAACUUGGCUAUAGAAAUAGGAAACAAUUGAGGGAUUUUUUAAGAAAUUAAUUCUCCAGCUACCACUUUUGGAAAUUUUCUAUCAACAACUAGUUACCAAAACACUAGCACAUAAUAAGAAAUCAGGAUAAUUUCAGAAACCUCCCUUGAGGCUUUUAAUAACCUCAAGAAGCUCCCCUCAAUAUUUUAAAAUUACACGUACCUUCCCUAUUGGUGCAAAAGUACUCUACUACCCCUAAUAGGAUACUCAAAAGACUUUUUUUUAUGGGAAAAAUGAAGCUCAGAAAUCCAAGCAAAAUCAAAAAAAUCAAUUGAUUUUCUCUUUUAGCCUUUUACACUUUUGCCUUCUACCUUUGCUCACUUUCCCAUCCCAAUCUUCCUACACCCGCUUUCCCAAUCCCCUUUCCCCAACUUUUCUCCUCUACUUCAAGACCAAUUUUUGUCUAUCUAUCCUGGCUUGUGCUUUGUUCCAUUCCCUUCCCUUCUCCUUCUUUGAUUUCGCCUACAUCUCCCUUUCUCUUUGCAAAAGUGACUAGGCUCAUGUCUCUCUUUUUCCCCCCUAUUCUAAGUGUAGUGGGUUUGAUUAUUUUGCAUCUAUUUUAUUUGAUUUGGGUUGAUUAUGGGUGAUAGAACUUGGCGAUGUCAAAUAUCAAAAGUUUGAUAGAUGGAUAUUGGGCUUUAGACAAUGAUUUGCUGAAAAAAAUGGCUGCAAUGAGACAAAGAGGCAAGGGGAUUUGAGUGUGGGGUUGAUUGUUGAUAAAUUGUUGUUUUGGACAAAAUUUGAGGUUGAGUUUUAUUAAAUUUGAUAGCAAGUGGCGAGUUUUGUUCAGGUUGCGGGAAAUAAAUUAGAUUGUGGUUUCUUGGGCACCCACAGUUGUUGGAAUUGGUUUUGAUUCAAAUUAGGGUGGUUACUUGAUUUUCCUAAUAGUGUUGCUUAAAAGCACACGAUCAUCAAAAUUCCUUAUUUUUAUCUUUUGUUUUUUCUUGUAGAAAAGAUUUCACGACUUUCGUGAUAGUCUAAUUUGGAAGAAGGCAAUCAAGGGAUGCAAUCAACAUUUAGCAAAAGCUCUUGUUCUUUCCUUUGUAAUUUUUAGGGUAAAAAGGGUAGUUUAGGGUAUUUGAAGGAAAUGAUAGUCUAUUGGGUCUAUUUUCAAGCAUAAAUAGUGAACGUAAGGGAGGUUGGUGUAAUUUCUGAAACCUAAGGGAAAUUGUCUGAAAUUGUUCGAGACCUCAGAGGAGGUUUUCGAAAUUAUCCCUAAGAAAUCAAAUGCGAAACUUGAUUAGUACACGCACACACGACACCGCACCACGCCGCGCGUGUGUUGAGGAUUGGUGUCCGUAACCAACGACAAGCAGGUUUUCAAUUUUUUUUUCCUUUCCUGGAUUCUCCAGAGAUGGUGUCAGCUUCUAUUAUUGAUGAGCAGGAGGAAAUCCACAAUAUACAGUACACAUCACCCAUAUUCUUUUUAAUUGAACAAUGUAUGAAAUUAUGGUGAUUCGAAAUUAAAUUAUAUGUUUAUUGGGCACUGAAUCCAAAAUAAGAGUUGGAAAUGUAUUGUGACAACAAUUGUUAACAUAGGCCACAAAUGAUCAAAACAAAUAUUUAAGGUUUAAUAUGACAUUAUGGGUUCAGAAUAUAGUUACUUGUUAUGAAACAACUAAAAGUAUGGAUAUCCAUUUGUAUUUUCAAGAGGAUCAAUUCAUAAUUCAUUGCUCCCAAGAGGAUUAAUUCAUAAUACAUUGCUACAUUAUGUAAAGGAAUUGCAUUGGAUGAACGGUUUCAAUCCAUAAAAGCUAUUUAUGUAUUGGAUGAACCGUUUCAUAUGGCUAUUCAUGUUCUUGUAGUAAUGAGUGUUUAAUAGAAUUGAUGUACCUUUAAUUUUGUAGUACCUAUAUAUACAGGUACUUUGGCACCUCUUGGGUAUACUUUUUGAUUAGUUGGAAUAAUAAGAAAAUUAUUCUUCAUUUCUGUACUUCUUUCUCUAAUAUUUCAAUUCCUAUUAUAGUAGUUCAUUUUUUUUAGUUUUACAACACGUUAUUAGCAUGAGUCUCUACUUUUGAACAAAAAGGUGAAAACGGAGCCUCUACCUUAAAAAAAAGUGAAACACGAGAUUCUGCCAAAAUUUUGCCCGUAUUUUUCCGGCAACUUCUGUCCACUUAUUGAGAAAUGGAUGCCAAAUAUUUGGGAUUAAAUAAUGGUGAUGAUGAUAUUUGUCUCAUUGAUAGUGCUACUACGCACACUAUAUUGAAAAAUAAAAAAAAAAUUUCUUGUAUGAAAAUGGGAGAGACAAAUGUUAAUACCAUAACUGGUAGUGCAAAAUUGAUUGAACGCUCCGGAAUAGCCUCUCUAUUUCUUCAUGAAGGGACUAAAAUUGUCGUAAAUAAUGCACUACUGUCUCCCAAGUCUCGGAGAAAUUUAUUGAGUUUUAAAGAUAUCUGCGAAAAUGAAUACUAUAUAGGGAUAAUGACUGAGACAAAUGGAGAAUUUUUAUUAAUCACAAGUAUCAUUUCUGGGCAGAAAUGCGUAGUAGAAAAAUUACCUUCUUUUUCUUCUAGCUUAUAUUAUGCACAAAUUAGUGCAAUUGAAAUUUAUCACCUAGUAGACCAGAAGUCUACUCAUCCCAAUAAUUUUAUGAUUUGGCAUGAUCGUCUCGAAAAUACUGAAUCUAUAAUGAUGAGACGAAUAAUCAAGAAUUUACAUGGUCACUCAUUGAAAAAUUAAAAGAUAUUAAAAGCAAAUGAAUUCUCCUGUGUUGCUUGUUCCCACGGAAAAUUAAUUAUUAGACCAUCACCAGUUAAAGUUGGGACUGAAUUCCCUACAUUUCUAGAACGAAUUCAUAGUGAUAUAUGUGGACUCGUAGAUCCACCAUGUGGACCAUUUCGAUAUUUUAUGGUGCUAAUUGAUGCAUCAACUAGAUGGUCACAUGUAUUUUUAUUAUCUACUCGCAACUUGAUAUUUGCGAGAUUGCUUGCUCAAAUAAUUAAAUUGCGAGCACAAUUUUCAGACUAUCUAAUAAAGAAAAUUCAUUUAGAUAAUGCUGGUAAAUAUUCGUCACAUGCUUUUGACAAUUAUUGCAUAUCUAUUGGAAUAACUAUUGAACAUCUUGUAACUUAUGUUCACACACAAAAUGGUCUAGCCGAAUCAUUUAUUAAAUGGUUACAAUUAAUUGCUAGACCAUUGUUGAUGAGGUCUAAACUUCCUUCAUCUGCUUGGGAAUAUGCUAUAUUAUAUACAGCAAUACUUGUGAGAAUUAGACCGACAAGUUAUCAUACUUAUUUUCCUCUAUAAUUAACUUUUGGUUAUAAGUCAAAUAUUUCUCAUUUACGAAUAUUUGGUUGUUCGGUUUAUGUUCGAAUUGCACGGCCCCAAUGUCGUAAAUUGGGUCCACAAAGAAGAUUGGGGAUAUAUGUCGGAUAUAAAAUCACCUUUAAUUAUUAAGUAUAUGGAACCAUUGACAGGUGAUUUAUUUACUGCAAGAUUUGCAGAUUGUCAUUCUAAUGAAUCACAUUUUUCGACAUUAGGGGGAGAUAAAAAUCAAUCGAAAAAGAAAAUCACUUGAAAAAUAUCAUUCAAUUUUCUCGAUUCUCGUACCAAAGAAUGUAAACUAGAAGUUCAAAGGAUUAUACAUUUGCAAAAAAUUACAAAUCAACUACUGGACGUAUUUAAUGACUCCAGAAGAGUUAUUAAAUCACAUAUUUUUAUUGAAAAUACUCCGAUUAAAAUUAAUGUCCUUGAAGGACAAAUUACAAGUGUUAAUGAGUGUAAAGUGCGCCUGAAGCGUGGGAGACCUCUUGGUUCUAAAGAUAAAAAUUCUCGAAAGAAAAGAGAAAUUGAUGAAUCAACAAUUAGUGACAAAAUUCAACCUCCUGAAGAAGUCGCUCCUAAAGAGCCAAUUCUUGAAGAUAAUGAAAUUAUAGAAAAUUCAAUAAAUUUUGUCGCUUCAGGAAAAAGUUGGAACAAAAAAAAAUUAUUAAUAGUAUUUUUGCAUAUAAUGUAGCACUUGUUAUUAUGGUAGGUAAUGAAGAUCGUGAGCAUAGAUCGGUUGAUGAAUGUCGACGUAGAAAUGAUUGGCCAAAAUGGAAAGAUGCGAUUCAAUCUGAAUUGGACUUACUAGCUACAAGAAAAGUUUUUGGGCCUGUAGUCCAAACACCUGAAGGUGUAAAGUCAGUAGGAUAUAAAUGGGCAUUUGUGAGAAAAAGAAAUGAGAAAAAUGAAAUCGUGAGGUAUAAAGCAAGACUUGCAACCCAAGGAUUUUCACAAAGGCCUGGAUUUGAUUAUGAUUACACGUAUUCACCUGUAGUGGAUGCUAUCACAUUUAGAUAUCUUGUGAGUUUUGCAGGACAUGAAAAAUCAGAUAUGCAUCUAAUGGACGUCGUUACUGUAUAUUUAUAUGAAAAUUUUGAAAAUGAUAUUUAAACGAGAAUCCCUGAAGGAUUCAACAUGCCUGAAGCAUGCAAAUCAAAUUUUAAAGAUAUUUAUACUAUUAAAUUACAAAGGUAUUUGUAUGGGUUCAAACAAUCUGGACGUAUGUGGUACCGCCUCAAUGAAUGUUUAACUAAAGAAGGCUAUACCAAUAAUCUAAUACAUCCAUGUGUCUUUAUCAAGAAAAAUGGACUAAUUUUAUGAUAAUUGUUGUCUAUGUUGAUAAUCUUAAUCUGAUUGGAACUCUUGAAGAGAUUCAAAAUAGUGUUGAAUAUUUGAAGAAGAAGUUUGAAAUCAAAGAUUUUGGAAAAACAAAAUUCUACAUUGAUUUACAAAUUGAGUGAUAGGUUGCAAUUUUAUCAUUUAUUUUAUUAUUAAUUUUCCCUAUUACUUAACCCAAUGUGAAUUAAUUAUUAGAUUCUACUCACUUUUAGUAUUUUACAUAUAUUUCAGGGAGUAGAACGAAAAUACCAUAAUAAGUGCCGAUUUGACAGUUAUCAGGAAAGAGUUCAAGUAGCAGGCAUCCAGGGCAUUUUUGGAACAAGGAGAUACAAGUCCUUUUUGGUAAUUCGCAGAGCGCAGCAUUAAAAGGAGGAACGAAGGGCUGAAGUAGGGAGUCUUCUUCCCCCUGGGAGGAACCGCCGCACAGCAGAGGGCUGUCUGGUCCUCUUAGUUUUUCCGUUUCUUUAGUUUUAGCUUCGGAUUUUGACUUUUCUUCUCGUAGGAAUUUUGGGUAGCCUUGAGCUUAGCAACUUUUGUUGACCCUUUUUUGGCCUUUUAGCUAGUUUGUUCUUACGCAUGGAAGAUGGCUGAAUAGCUGAGGCUUGUUCUUUGUUUUUCUUUGACUUUUCCUUUUGGUUUGCUUCCUGCGGACGCCCAGACCGAAGGAAAACUAUGAAGUCCCUUUUGUAGCUUUCUCUCUUUAUUAAAUAGACGAAUUGAAUUCCCUCAACUUGCGAAUUGAUGGCCGCAGCUUUUGCUUCAAUUUCUUGUGGGUUUAGUUCAUUAAUUAUGAACUAAUUCUACAAUUCUAGUCAAGGGGACAACUGACGAUUUGGUUCGACAAUUACUGUGAGAUCGAAUCUGUUUUAAUUAUUUUCUUCAUUUAUUGGUAUUUAUAUGUUCCUUGAUUUUAAUUGCUAUGGCCUUGUGUAUGAUUGAUUAGUGCGCAAUAAUUAAUUAUUCAUAUAGGCUAUUUUGCUAAAUAGAGGUAAUUGAAUCCGUAAUUGUUCGUUAUCUCUAUCUUAGUAGCAACUGGCGUAAUUGGGUUUAUGUCAGGGGAGCAUAUGAUCUAGCUUAAACAAACCCUCGUAGCGUGUUUGUUGGUUAGGAUUGGGCCUUUCUAAUUAUUAAUGCAAUCUAGAAAUUAAAUCUUACGGUCGUACCUAGGGUUGUUUUUGGGUUAGAGAAAUAGCUAACGGUCGUACCUUAGCUAUCGAUAAAUUAAGGAAGGGUUGGUUGUUUAUCGCGUGCAUGACAACUAUAACCAAUCUAUUAAUAAAUGUUGGGAUUAUUUUUGCAUCAAUGAUCAGUGCAUGAACCAUUUCUGAAGUAUACCCUUGGCUAGAGUUUCUCUUAGUUAUUUCUUUUAAUUAAUUAUUUUCUGCAGUUAAUUUAUUUAGUUAGCAUUUAAUCCAAAACCCCCCAUACUUUGGACUCUAAAAGAAACAAUUACUCCCAGUCCCUGUGGAUUCGACCCUGCUCACCGCUAUCUACAGAAAUCACUUUUAGUUUGAGCAGGUAUUUAUUAUUGCACAGGCUUCGACGACCUGUCAAUCUUUGGCGCCGUUGCCGGGGACUGGUGCCAGAUUAAAUUGUUUCUUUUUGAGUUUAUCUUGUUUUCAUUUUUUUAAUUUAUUUUUCUCUUAUUUUUUAUUAUUAUUAUUAUUUUUUUUAUGGCUGCUAACAUUCCAUAUUUUGAUGAUAGACUGGAUUUUGUUCCUGAAUGGGGUUAUGAGACUCAUGUUUUUCCUAACGAUCAAUGGGCUGUUGCAAAUUGUGGAACUUAUUUUGACUCAAGUUAUUCAACUGACACAUGCCCCGUAUUUCAAGAUAAUUUAAGUUCUCCACUUGAUACUUUUGGAGAUUUUUCACCCCAAUAUCAAACGUGGUAUGACCCUUAUUCAAACGGGUAUGAUCAAGGAUGGUGGGAUAAUUCCAAUUUUGAUUAUGCGACCGGGCCAAUGGAUUUUCAACAGCAAGAGUCUCAGCAAUCAUCCUCCGUGUCAGGUAUGUCUCUUGAAGAAAUGAUAGGUUUACUAAUUGCUAAUUCAAAUCGAUUUCAUCAGGAGACACAAGCGAGCCUAAAUCGAUUUCAUCAGAGGACACAAGCGAGCUGUCGCGACCUGGCGGAUCAACUGCGUCAAUUGACAGCCAGGAUGCAGCGAUUAGAGGCUCACCUUGAAGAAUUGCCCUCGCAAACCAAUAUCAAUCUUGAGGAAGAUGAGAGUGCAAUUGUCCGGGCAAAUGACAUGGAACUGCAAGAGUUUCAAGAAAACGGAUUUAAAGAUGCAGUUGAAAAGGAAGCUGAAGUGCAAGAAAUGAGACUCCAAGAUCAACUCGUUCAAGUGAAUGAAUCCAGUGAACAAUCUCCAAAUGCGGUGACAUCUUCUCCACUCCUUAAUCAAUAUUUUCCUGGCUCCUAUUCUUCAACUCCUGUUACUGAAAUUGAUUUUAUUAUACCAGAAAAUUUAAAAUUUCAUGACAGGAAUAAGUUAAGAGUGGAGAUGGCAAAAUAUCUUGAACCAAUGAAUGCGUGUGAUGGAGGAGUGAGUGGAGAAUGCAGAUCAUUGUUGACUUGUUUAGCGCCAUUUACUAGUCCAUGGAAGCCCGUAACUCGUGUGCCCAAGAAUUACUCCAUCUAUGAGGGUUACCAGGAUCACGUUGAAGAUGAAGCAUUGAAGCGAGCCACAAGAUUUUAUCCUCCAUGAGCAAAACAUGAUAAUGUCUAGCCAAAGACAUUAAAGAAAGGCGCUCAUUGGGAGGCAACCCAAUUUCUUUUAGUUGUUUGUUUGAUUUUAUUUGUUAGUUUAAAUCUGUCUUCCUUGAAUUUGACUGAUUUUGGGUGUUAAUUUUCGUUUUUACUGAUUUGUAGGUGACCUUCAGUCAUGACGCGCCCGCGUGGUGACGUGCAGGAAGCUCACGAUCAGAAACUUCUGGGAGCUCUCUUACCCUCAUGACGUGCCCGCGUCAAGUCACCUGGAGAGUUCCAGAUUCCGUGCCUUCAUGGUGUGCCCACGUCACGUUCACGGGAGAGAUAAGUAUUUAAAAAAAAAAUUCAAAAACGAUUGUUGAUUGUUGGUUAUCUCUGCUUUUGAAUCUCGAAAAUAAAAUUUGCUAAUGAAAAUAAAUUUCAAAAAAAUAAAAAAAAAUUUUUUAAAAAAAAAAAUUUAAAUUUUUGUUUCACGGUAGCUUAGAUUUUCAAAUCCUAAAAAAAAAAAAAAACACAGAAACUCUUUCUUAUCAACGUAGCUUUAGUGUCAAAUAUUUUAAAAAAAAAAAAGUCUCAAAUGAAAAAAAAAAAGGGCUUUUCUUUUUCUUUCUUUUCUUUCUUUCUUCUUCUUUCUCUUUUCUGUCUUCCUUCUCCCCUGUUUCUUCUUCCUCUCUGUUGACCGAAGCCCUCUGUCCGCCGCCGCUGCUGAAGCGCCCUCAGCCGUCGCGCAGCAGCUCCUCACUCGAAGACGCCGCGGCCACAGCACCUCUGCACGCGGCCUCCACCUCUCCAUCGCGCGCCGUCAAGAGCUCCGCCGACCCACGACGCGCGAGGCACCAGCUCGCGCGCCUCCCCCACCUAGCAACUGCUGGCCGACCAGCCCCACCACCAGCCCGCGCCGCACCUGCUGGCCGACCUAUCAACUCCUAAGCUCGCGAACCUCCUCAGCUCAGCUCCACCAGCGAGCUGCUCCUCGCUCACUCCAUCGCGUGAAGACCAGGCGAGCACGGCCCGCAGCCUCUCACCGCCACUGCGCACCUCUGACCAGCUCGCAGCACCUCUCUCUGCCCUCCGUGCGCUGCCCGCGCGUGGCACCAGCGCCUCCACAGCUCGUCGACGAAGCCCAAGCUGACAGACCACGCCGCUCGUCCACUUCCACCACUCGCGACGCACAGAUCAGCGCUGCCGUUGGUUGCCCAACCUCCCUGGUGCCAGGUUUUUCUUACUAAUUUUGUGGUCUACGAUUCCAAUUUCUUGAUGAUGGGAUUUUUGAUGAUUACGAUUUCAUUGAGUAAAUUUGAUUGGCUUGCAUCUGUGUUACUGGAGCCCGUGGGUUGGGUUAUGACCUGCAACUGAUUUGCCUAGUCUAAUAUAAUUGUCAUUUGUUUGGGCUCUUGAAGUACUGUCUAGUGUUGUUUGUAUUUCUUAGUGAAUUGAGUUUGCCGUUUGAUUUCAUUCUUCCCUGUGCGUACACCAGUGGUACUGGUUGUGGUAGUUGCCUAACAUUUAUUCAUUCUCAUUGGUGUGGCUGUUGGGAUUGAAAGCUCAGAACUUGUGACUAAGUUGUUAUUGCCUAAAUGCUGACCUGCUAUUACUAGACUUGCUGAUUUCUUGGGAGCAUUUGUUGGGAUUUUGGGUGGAUAUUAGCAAGUGGUAUAUUGCUUGAUUUUUUUUACCUGUGCCUUGCUUGGAGUUUCUAGUGCAUGUUUGGGGCUGCCUUGGGAGUUAUUUGCCACAAUUGAUUGCCGUUUUGGUUUCUUCUGUUUCUGGUACUGCUUGUGCUGAUGGAUUUAUCAGUGUUUUGGGCGGCUUAUUUGAAUUGCUUCUUCCCUGUGUGUUUGGUCAGCUGUUUGCUUGAAAACCCAAACCCUUGUGCUUAUAUUUGCUCCCAGUUGAGUUAUGUGUUGGACUUUCCAAUUGGUGACAACUUUUGGGCUUUAGGGGUGAGUUCAUUUUGUCAUUAUUUGCUACCUUGUUGGGGUCAUUUUUGGUUUCACCUGAGUCUAUUGUCCUGCCUUCUGUUUUGAGUCCAUUGGAGUGACGUGAGUUGAGUAAUUUCUGCUUUUGUUUGUUGAUUUGGAAGGCUACUGUGCCACUUUCAUUGCUUAUUGCUUAGUGAUUAUGUCUAAUUAACAAUGUGCAUAGCAUGGCGCAGAAUUUGGCAGCAUUCAUGUAGCAUGCCGGUCUUAUACCUCAAUUGGGUACCUCUAUUUGGUUGGCUGCGUUCUUAUUGUCCAAUAUCUAUGCUGUUUUCAAUGGAAUUGCUGAUCUUGGGUUAAGACUUUAGCUGGCCAACUGGAGCCAUUUGUUGAGAUUUUGGGUGAACUGCAAUACUGCACUCGUUUGUUCAAUUGGGAGGUUUCUUUUGGUAUUCUGGUUGAGUUAUUUCUAAAGUUGCCUGAUGAAUUGAGAGACAUAGAUGGCUAUUGCUCUGCCCUGAUAUUGCUUGGUUGCCAGUGCGCAUUCUCUAUGCCAAGUGGCAAGGAUGUCUCAGAACUCGGCUUCCCUCCACUGUUCCCUCCUAUCCCUUAGCUGUUCAGCAGGGAAGUCUCGUUAUCCUCUUCGCUUUAAUUAUUUUAUUACCUCCAUUGAGGACAAUGUAGGAUUUAGGUGUGGGGGGAGCAGUUAUGGUGCUAGUGUCUUUCGUUCAUUUUCUUUUUCUUCUUUUUAGUGAUUGGCUCGUAAGUGCAUGCCAAGGUUUGAUGUUGGAUUAUUGCCUCUAUUUCUACUUUUGCCAAGUUUUAAUAAUAAAAGGGUAUCAAGUUAAUGUGGUUGAAUCCAAAAACAUCUCUUUGGUGAAUAUCAAUAAUUGUUUUACUCUUAUAAUUUUUUGGUUAACUUUCCUAGGCAUAGGGAAUGAUUAUUGGCAUUUUUAGUGAAUUGGUCCGGUUAUUAACCUUAGUUCUCCAUGUUUGAAAAUGAGGCUAGCUGAUGCAAGUUUUCUUUUGGUUCUUGUGUUAUAUUGAGUUUUUGUGAUUUUUAGCUCUGAAUAAACUUGACUGUACUCCGCUAUUAGUUACUACUGAGUAACCGGGGAUCUGCACCUAAAAGUGUUGAUUCUCGCGUCAAAAGAUAGUAGUUCCUAUGAGUACGUGGUCACGUGGCGAUAGAAGCUGAGUAACCGGGCUCCUUCAUCUGGCCAAUGUUGGAAUUCGCGUCAAAAGGCUCUAAUGGCUAGCGACUAAGUCUUUUGUUACUAUUGAAAAAAAACGAGAAAGAAGAAGAAGAAAAAAAAAAGAAAAAAAAGAGAAAAGUAGAAAAAUGUGAAAGAAAAAGUGAAUGCUGUGUUAGUGUAUAAUAAAAGUCAGCUUGCCGAUUUAUGGAUUUAAUGUUGAGAUUUUGGUUAAUAGUUGGACCAUUUGCUGAUAACUGUUAUGCGUCAUUCCUUUUUCUUAGAUUGGUUAACAUGAAAUUAGAGGAAUUUAUGGUUUAGAAGCUAACCGGAGUGAUGUUUCUUGGACUAGACCAUUGAUGCUUGAUUAUUAUAUUUUCUUGGUAUCUUGGCAAUAUGGUAGAUGGAGUAAUAGCCAUUGGCAAGUGUUGGUGUUUAUUUGCUGUUCUCAUGCUUGAGGACAAGCAUGGUUUAGGUGUGGGGGGAAUUGAUAGGUUGCAAUUUUAUCAUUUAUUUUAUUAUUAAUUUUCCCUAUUACUUAACCCAAUGUGAAUUAAUUAUUAGAUUCUACUCACUUUUAGUAUUUUACAUAUAUUUCAGGGAGUAGAACGAAAAUACCAUAAUAAGUGUCCGAUUUGACAGUUAUCAGGAAAGAGUUCAAGUAGCAGGCAUCCAGGGCAUUUUUGGAACAAGGAGAUACAAGUCCUUUUUGGUAAUUCGCAGAGCAGCAGCAUUAAAAGGAGGAACGAAGGGCUGAAGUAGGGUCUUCUUCCGCCUGGGAGGAACCGCCGCACAGCAGAGGGCUGUCUGGUCCUCUUAGUUUUUCCGUUUCUUUAGUUUUAGCUUAGGAUUUUGACUUUUCUUCUCGUAGGAAUUUUGGGUAGCCUUUAGCUUAGCAACUUUUGUUGACCCUUUUUUGGCCUUUUAGCUAGUUUGUUCUUACGCAUGGAAGAUGGCUGAAUAGCUGAGGCUUGUUCUUUGUUUUUCUUUGACUUUUCCUUUUGGUUUGCUUCCUGCGGACGCCCAGACCGAAGGAAAACUAUGAAGUCCCUUUUGUAGCUUUCUCUCUUUAUUAAAUAGACGAAUUGAAUUCCUUCAACUUGCGAAUUGAUGGCCGCAGCUUUUGCUUCAAUUUCUUGUGGGUUUAGUUCAUUAAUUAUGAACUAAUUCUACAAUUCUAGUCAAGGGGACAACUGACGAUUUGGUUCGACAAUUACUGUGAGAUCGAAUCUGUUUUAAUUAUUUUCUUCAUUUAUUGGUAUUUAUAUGUUCCUUGAUUUUAAUUGCUAUGGCCUUGUGUAUGAUUGAUUAGUGCGCAAUAAUUAAUUAUUCAUAUAGGCUAUUUUUUGCUAAAUAGGGGUAAUUGAACCCGUAAUUGUUCGUUAUCUCUACCUCAGUAGCAACUGGCGUAAUUGGGUUUAUGUCAGGGGAGCAUAUGAUCUAGCUUAAACAAACCCUCGUAGCGUGUUUGUUGGUUAGGAUUGGGCCUUUCUAAUUAUUAAUGCAAUCUAGAAAUUAAAUCUUACGGUCGUACCUAGGGUUGUUUUUGGGUUAGAGAAAUAGCUAACGGUCGUACCUUAGCUAUCGAUAAAUUAAGGAAGGGUUGGUUGUUUAUCGCGUGCAGGACAACUAUAACCAAUCUAUUAAUAAAUGUUGGGAUUAUUUUUGCAUCAAUGAUCAGUGCAUGAACCAUUUCUGAAGUAUACCCUUGGCUAGAGUUUCUCUUAGUUAUUUCUUUUAAUUAAUUAUUUUCUGCAGUUAAUUUAUUUAGUUAGCAUUUAAUCCAAAACCCCCCAUACUUUGGACUCUAAAAGAAACAAUUACUCCCAGUCCCUGUGGAUUCGACCCUGCUCACCGCUAUCUACAGAAUUAAUUUUAGUUUGAGCAGGUUUUAUUAUUGUACAGGCUUCGACAACCUGUCAUUGAGCAUUUGAAAAGUGAAAUUUUUGUCCACCAAACUGCUUAUACCCGGAAGGUAUUAAAGUAGUUUUAUAUGGAUAAGGCAUAUACAUUAAGUACCCCAAUGGUCAGAUCAUUAGAUCCUAAUAAGGACCCUUUUAGACCGCGAGAGGAAGUUGAAGAGAUACUUGGUCCUAAAGUACCAUAUCUCAGUGCAAUUAGUGCACUAAUGUAUCUUGCUAAUUGUACAAGACCUGAUAUAUCAUUUGCAAUAAAUUUAUUAGCAAGAUUUAGUUCUCGCUCACAAGACGACAUUGGAAUAGUAUUAAACAUAUUUUUUGUUAUCUCCAAGGAUCAAUUGAUCUUGGCUUAUUUUAUUCAAAUAAAUCUAAACUUGAAUUGUUUGGUUAUGUUGAUGCUGGAUAUUUAUUUGGCCCACAUAAAGUAAGAUCUCAGACUGGUUAUCUAUUUACAUAUGGAGGUACAACCAUUUCUUGGCGAUCUACAAAGCAAUCAUUAGCUGCCAUUUCAUCGAAUCAUGCUGAAAUAAUAGCAAUUCAUGAAAUUAGUUGAGAAUGUGUUUGGUUAAAAUCAAUGACCCACUAUAUCCGGAAAAGUUGUGGGUUAUCCUCCGAAAAAGAAAAUCCUUCAACUAUAUUAUAUAAAGAUAAUGCAGCUUGUAUAACUCAAUUGAAAGGAUGAUAUAUUAAAAGAGAUAGAACGAAAUAUAUUUCACCAAAAUUCUUUUUUACUCAUGAUUUACAAAAGAAUGGUGAAAUUGAUGUGCAACAAAUCUGAUCAGAUAAUAAUUUGACAGAUUUAUUUACCAAUGCAUUGCCAACUGCAAUAUUUAAGAAAUUGGUGAAGAAUAUUGGAAUGCGACGACUAUAAGAUCUCAAAUGAUAUUUGCAUCCGGGGGAACAAUCAAUACACAAGAAUAGUGUACUCUUUUUCCUUCAUUAAGGUUUUUAUCCCGUUGGAUUUUUUCCUAGUAAGGUUUUAAUGAGACACAUUCUUUGUGUAAUGGACAUCCAAUGGGGAGUGUUAUGAAACAACUAAAAAUGUGGAUGCCCAUUUGUAUUCUCAAGAAGAUCAAUUCAUAAUUCAUUGCUUCCAAAAGGAUUAAUUCAUAAUUCAUUGCUACAUUAUAUAAAGGAAUUACAUUGGAUGAACGGUUUCAAUCCAUAAGAGCUAUUCAUGUAUUGGAUGAACCAUUUCAUAUGGUUAUUUAUGUUCUUGUAGUAAUGAGUGUUUAAUAGAAUUGAUGUACCUUUAAUUUUGUAGUACCUAUAUAUAGAGGUACCUUGGCACCUCUUGGAUGUACUUUUUGAUUAGUUGGAAUAAUAAAAAAAUCAUUCUCCAUUUCUGUACUUUUUUUUCUAAUAUUUUAAUUCCUAUUAUAGUAGUUCAUUUUUUUUUUAGUUUUACAACAUUACUCAAAGAAGAGGGUUAUUGGACUAUAUGUUUAUUGACCUCUACUAGGGAUGACAAUGGGGGCGGGUGACGGCAAUGGGGGCGGGUGACCGCGGGCACCCGUCCCGCGGGGGGCUAAUGGGGAGAGGGAUGGGGCCGGGGCGGGGGGUAGGGGAGUGUACCCCCGCCCCAUCCCCCGUCCCGCUACCCGCUUUAAAAAAAUAAAUAUAUAAAAUAUAUAUAGGUAUAUAAUUAUAUAUAUAAUAUAUAAUUUAAUUGGUUACAAACUUAUGAUAAUAAUAUUAUUAGUUAUAUGUAUUAUAUGAUGUCUAUUAGUAUAAAUAAUAUAAUUGAUAUUAUUAAUUAUACUAAUAAUUAUAUAUGUGUACUCAUACAAAUUAUUAAUUGGUUAUACUAAAUUUACUAAUACAUUUAUACUAAAUCCCUAAUUACACUUAAUACAAUAACAUUAUUUUCAUAAAAAAAACACAACCACAAUAAUGAAUUAGUGAUUGUAUUUGUACCAAAAGUGAAAAUUUGAUUACUUUAGUUAUAUUUUUUUCAUCAUGUUGGAUUGUAUUCAAAUAAUUUUUGUUUGAUUGUUUUUAUAAGUUUCAAUUGUAAAAUUGCAAUGAAUAAUAAUUUGAUGAUGUGUUGAUAUUUUAGUACUUGAUUAUUUGCUAAAAUUUAAUCAUAAUAAAAUUAUAUAACAAAUUUUUAUUAGCUCAGCGGGAGCACCCGCCGGAGAAGCGGGGCAGGGUGGGGACGGGGCGAGGGAAGCGGGGGAUGGGGGAGGGGUCCCCCGCCCCAACCCUCUUCCCCAUCUCCCGCCCCGUUGCCAUCCCUAACCUCUACUAACUUAUUUAAGGUCAUUUUAUAUCACUAUCCAAAGAAGAAUUAAGGUCAUUUUAUAUCACUAUCCAAAGAACAAUUCUUGGGCGUUAACAUUUUUCUUACAUGCCAAGACUAUUAAUGAAAGUUGACCCAAAUCUCUCUCUCUCUUUCUCUCAAUUCUUAGGACUGAUGCCAAUUCUUACCAUUUAGAAAGAAAAAUUAGAUUGUUUAUAUAUAUGAUGAGUUCCCUCUAAGUCAUGGUUAAGAAAAAUUCUUAGUUAGACGCAGUUUUAUGAAAUGUGAAUUUCCUUUUCUUUGUCUUUAUUCGUUAGUAUUAUUGGGGUUAUUGUAUUAUGAUUGCAAUGCACAGAUACAUGGAUUUUUGACAUUUUUUUCUCAUUUUUUCUUUUUAAUUGACUCUGACUAUGUCUCAAACUCGAGACAUCAAACCUGGAGAAGACUUUUGUCCAAAAUGCUUGUAAAAAUUCAGAAGAAUAAUGUUGGACCUUAUUAUUUAAUAAUGGUGCAAUUAUGAGAGUCAUUCCUGGUUUAAUUAUCAACAUCAUGUCAUUAUUAUUUUUUUGUUUCAUAGAAAAAUAAAGUAUUCUCCGACUCGACAUUAUCAUAUUAUUUUCAAUUGGCAGCUUUAAGUGAGAAAGGCCGGUGAAAAUUUUGGGCAUUACUAGUUUAUUUAGGCCUCACGCGCUCCGUGAAGGUGCCGACGUCAUCUUCGUUUUAAUGGAAAAAUUUGAGCGCGCUUUGAUCAUAAGGAAUUCACAAUCAUCGGGCCAACAAAGAAAGCACUAAAUGGUUAAAACAAACCAUGCAAAUUUGCUCAGCACUUAAACAAUAGACUCCUAAACCGACCAUUUUACUGUCUUGCCAAAAAAGGGCAUUAAAGUAAAAACAACCCAUGCCUAACACAACUAACAAACUUCAGCACCUUCACUUCACUGCCACGUCAUCAACAACAUCUGUAAAUUUCCAAGGAAGUCCACGCACUAAAGGUGCCAUGGGGGACCUCAGGUUAGUGUUCUUAACAUCAACUCCUGUCUUUAUAUUCUUAGGAAAUAUUGAAAUUAAACAUUAUAACUAAUCCUGAUUUCCUUAUGCUGUAUUUGUACACAAUUUGGCAACUUGAUAAAAAGUUUGUUCCAAUUUAUUCCAAUUUAAUUUGUCAGCUAGUCGAAUCUAAUUUGAAUAGUAUUUAACUUUGAAAUUUGAUAAAAAGUUUGUUCAAACUUGGUUUACUAAAUAAACAAGUUAAGUUUGAACAAAAUUUCAAACUUAUUAAAAUAAUUAAAUACGUUUGAAUACUAGGGUAUUCAAUUUAAUUAGACUCGUUUGCACCCAUAAUUAAAGCAUGCACUUUUUUAUAAAUUUAGGAAUCAACAUUAUCUAUUUGAUAGCUAGCUAAUGGCCCAAAAAGUUAAUUGCCUUAAAUUCUUUUAGCAGCCAUAAAGUAUAGUUGGAGGGAUUCCCUUGAAAUUGAUUAGAUUCUUCUAUGUGACUGUGACGUAUUACUAGUCCUACCCAAAAAAAAAUGGUAUUACUAGUCCUUUUUUCUUUUUGUGGCGUGCCACCGCCGUAGGGGGCGGGGAGGGCAGUCAGUGCGAGAAUUCUAGAUGGGGUAGAAGUAGCCAAAGUUCACCUUAUUCAAAGUAAACAACCGACAAUCUCAGUUGUCGACUUUCCUGUCGAUUGCGUAUAUAUUACUAUCUUUUACCAUGACUUUAGAGGAUACCUAAUUUUGCUUGCUAUUAAAUAAUAAUUCCUGGCACCACAUAAUUCUUUCAAGAACUACCAAAACCUUCUUGAAAUCCCUCUUUUUCCUUUUAGUUCAUUUCCAAGAAACAAAUUGAACCAUCAUGGCCCCUGUCACUUCCAGUUAUGAGGUCACCUCCUCAAUCCCUCCUGCAAGGUUGUUCAAGGCCACCAUCCUUGAAGAGAAGCAUCUUCACAAGAUCUUGCCACAGGGCGUUAAGAGUGUCGAAAUCCUUGAAGGAGAUGGUGGAGUUGGCACAAUUAAGUUGACCACAUUUGUUGAAGGUAAGAUAUCAAUACAAAGUGAUUAUUUUCACACAUUUGAAGUCCUCAAAAUGUUCUUUUUUUUUUUUAACAUUUUAUUUGUGGGGGUAAGUAUGUAUGUAAGCCCUAAUAACCUUUUUUUUUUUGUUGGGUUAAAUAUUUAGGUGGCGAGCUUAAGACUGCCAAACAGAGAGUUGAUGGAAUUGACAAAGAAAAAUUUACAUACAGUUAUACUGUACUUGAAGCUGAUGGAUUUAACGAUGUAAUCGAGAAAAUCUGUUGUGUCAUCAAAUUUGAACCCUCUGCUGAUGGAGGUUCAAUCUGCAAAACCACUAAUACAUACUACCCCAAAGGUGGUGCUCAGAUCAGUGAGGAACACCUCAAGGGAGGAAAAGAGAAGGGUUUGGGAAUGGUUAAGGCUGUUGAGGCUUACCUCCACGCAAAUCCUACUGCCUACAACUAAUUAAAAUGAAUGCUACUGAAGGACUCUUCGACAUAUUUUCUUCAAGAUUGAAGUAUAAACUGAGGGUGUCUGUUUCCUUUUUUGCUUGGUUUGCUUAAGCUGUUUGGUUAAGUUAUUCGCAGCAAGAGAAUAAAAUAAUUCACUUGCUGUUUUUAGAUAUGAAUUCAUGACUGUCAGUAGUCUAUAAAUACACUUAUUGCUCACCGCUCUUUGCACCGCAAAAUCUUUUCAAGAUCCAUCAAACCCUCCUGUUCUUGAUCUUUCUCCAUUUGUGAAAAAACAAAUUAAAGCAUCAUGGCCCCGAUCACUUGUAGUGCUGAGAUGACCUCCCCAAUGCCUCCUGCAAGGUUGUUCGAGGCCGCCAUCCUUGAUGACCACCUUCUUCCCAAGAUCAUGCCACAGGCUAUUAAGAGUGUGGAAAUCCUUGAAGGAGAUGGUGGAGUUUGAACCAUUAAUUUGAGCACAUUUGGUGAAGGUUAGAUGUUAUAUUAAAUGUAGAACCCCAAAUUUAAGGAUCGAAUAAUAAUCAACGCAUGUGGGGUUAUAGAAUUGAAGGGAUAAAACAAAUACUCAAAAUAUACGUGAAAGAAAAGAAAAUAAUAAAUUCAACUUACAAUAUUAUUAAAUUUUCAAACAAUGGAAAAAAUCAUACCACAAUAAAUUCAGCUGGUUCUAAUAAUAAUCAAAGCAUACAAGGUUACAGAAUUAAAAGGAUAAAACAAACGCUCAAAAUAUAUGUGGGAGAGAAGAAAAUAAUCAAUUCAACACACAAUAUUAUUGAAAUCUCAAACAAUGAAAAAAGUCACACCAUAAUAGAAAACCUUGCUUAUUCUUCUAGAUUCUUUCUCUUGAGAGACCAACCUAAAUAAUGUCCUAUUUAUAAUCUACCAAACUUGUUAAGAAAGAAACCACUUGCAUAAGAAAUUACGAAAUAAAUUAGAAAUUCCUAAAUCACACAACUACUAAAAACAUAACUCAAAUAAAACUAAAAAAUAAAUAAAUAUUUCUAGGCUUAGUUUAAUUUGUCAACAUUGCCUCCCUUAAACCAAAUUAUUCAUUGAGAUAGGUUCAACACCAUCUCGAGCAAUAAUUUCUAUGCAAAUCUAUGUUGUAGUACAUUUGACAUGAAACUCUAACUUGUUACCAGUUAUUAAUUUCAUUUUUACACGUAACAAUGGACGCACUAUAUAUUUUGUAAAAAAUUUCUCAGCAAUUUCUUCUUGAUCAAAGUACUCAUUUAUACAAACCCAUUCGUCACCAGAAUCACCAUAUUUACCACCAAUGUAAGUGCCUAAAAUUAAAAAAUCAUAGGUUGCUUUCUCGCUAAAGUUAUCAUCACCAAAUAAUUCAAAAUAACCACUACUACAAUUAUCCAAAAUUUUCAUACUGUCAGUCAACUCUUUUGGAGUAAAAUAUUUUUCAACUCCGAUGACAUCCAUAUCUAUCAAAUCAAACAUUCUCCCAUCACUUUGAAGAGAGUCCGAACCAACAAAUUUUUCAACAACAAUUUCAUGUUCUCUUCUUUUAUCAAAUCAAAAUUUUCUUCUUCUUUUGUCAAAUUACCAUAUUAUUUUUUUCAACAAAUUCAUUACUUCUAAUUUCUCCAAACAAGGUAUGCAAAUCAAAACUAUCAAUUGAUUCAAAAUUUUCGAUAUCACCCAUAUUAUGAACAAAUCUAUCAUUUUUAAAAUCCACAAACCAAUACCAACAACUAGACUUCAGUUUGAAAGCAUAAUUUCUCUCAAUCAUGUGCAAAACAUAGUAAAUAUCCUUCCAAAAUCUCUAAAGUAUUUUAGUAUGACCAAUAAAGGUUCUAUAAAUACUUUCUGCCAUUAUUUUACGCAUCACUUGAAAGAAUAAUUGUGCCUUUUUCUUAAAAACAUGUUUUGACAACUUACUUGCAUCAACCCAACAAAGAAUAUCAUCCAAAUUGCAUUGCUUGACAUAUUUUUCCACUGUUAAAAUCCAAUUAAAAUAUGUAUGUCUAUUUGUGCUUAUAGGAGUCAAUAUGAAAAAUUUUUCACCGUCAAUUAGAUCUUUAUAAUAUUCCAUUAUUUAACAAUUUCUAUACCUGAAUAAAUUUUUUUCCUCCAUCCUGUCAUGUUUUCUUGGCCUCCCUGGUUGACUAACCAAAUUAUUGUUGUAUGUAUACCCAUGCUCGUCAAACCUCAUUCGUGUACACUCGUAAGGAGUGGUUCUGAGCUUAUUGUGAAUGCUUAGUACCAAGAAGUAGAAGAGAGAAUGCAUAAGAGAGAAUUAACUUGGCUAAAGAAUUAGGAAACAAUUGAGGGAUUUUUUAAGAAAUUAAUUCUCCAACCGCCACUUUUGGAUCUUUUCUAUCUACAACUAGUUACCAAAACACUAGCACAUAGUAAGAAAUCGGGAUAAUUUCAGAAACCUCCCUUGAGGCUUUUAAUAAUCUCAAGAAGCUCCCCUCAAUAUUUUAAAAUUACACGUACCUUCCCUAUUGGAGCAAAAGUACUCUACUACCCCUAAUAGGAUACUCAAAAGACUUUUUUUAUGGGAAAAAAGAACCUCAGAAAUCCAAGCGAAAGCAAAAAAAUCAAUUUAUUUUCUCUUUUAGCCUUUAACGCUUUUGCCUUCUACCUUUGCUCACUUUCCCAUGCCAAUCUUCCUAUAACCACUUUCCCAAUCCCCUUUCCCCAACUUUUCUCCUCUACUUCAAGACUAAUUUUUGUCCAUCAAUCCUGGCUUGUGCUUUGUUCCAUUCCCUUCCCUUCUCCUUCUUUGAUUUCCCCUACAUCGCCCUUUCUCUUUGCAAAAGUGACUAGGCUCAUCUCUCUCUUUUUUCCCCUUAUUCUAAGUGUAGUGGGUUUGAUUAUUUUGCAUCUAUUUUAUUUGGUUUUGGUUGAUUAUGGGUGAUAAAACUUGGUGAUGUCAAAUAUCAAAAGUUUGAUAGAUGGAUAUUGGGCUUUAGACAAUGAUUUGCUAGAAAAAAAUGGCUGCAAUGAGAGGAAAAGGCAAGGGGAUUUGAAUGUGGGGUUGAUUGUUGAUGAAUUGUUGUUUUGGACAAAAUUUGAGGUUGAGUUUUGUCAAAUUUGGUAGCAAGUGGCGAGAUUUGUUCAGGUUUCGGGAAAUAAAUUGGAUUGUGGUUUCUUGGGCACCCACAGUUGUUGGAAUUGGUUUUGAUUCAAAUAAAGGUGGUUACUUGAUUUUCCUAAUAGUGUUGCUUAAGAGCACACGAUCAUCAAAAUUCCUUAUUUUUAUCUUUUUUUUUUUGUAGAAAAGAUUUCAUGACUUUCGUGAUAGUCUAAUUUGGAAGAAGGCAAUCAAGGGAUGCAAUCAACAUUUAGCAAAAGCUCUUGUUCUUUUCUUUCUAUUUUUUAGGGUAAAAAGGGUAGUUUAGGGUAUUUGAAGGAAAUGAUAGUCUAUUGGGUCUAUUUUGAAGCAUAAAUAGUGAACGUAAGGGAGGUUGGUGUAAUUUCUGAAACCUAAGGGGAAUUGUCUAAAUUGUCCGAGACCUCAGAGAAGGUUUUCGAAAUUAUCCCUAAGAAAUCAAAUGCGAAACUUGAUUAGUACACACACACACGACACUGCACCACGGCACGCGUGUGUUGAGAACUGAUGUCCGUAACCAACGACAAGCAGGUUUUCAAUUUUUUUUUCCUUUCCUGGAUUCUCCAGAGAUGGUGUCAGCUUCUAUUAUUGAUGAGCAGGAGGAAAUCCACAAUAUACAGUACACAUCACCCAUAUUCUUUUUAAUUGAACAAUGUAUGAAAUUAUGGUGAUUCGAAAUUAAAUUAUAUGUUUAUUGGGCAACGAAUCCAAAAUAAGAAUUGGAAAUGUAUUGUGGCAACAAUUGUUAACUUAGGCUACAAAUGAUCAAAAUAAAUAUUUAAGAUUUAAUAUGACAUUAUGGGUUCAAAAUAUAGUUACUUGUUAUGAAACAACUAAAAGUGUGGAUGUCCAUUUGUAUUCUCAAGAGGAUCAAUUCAUAAUUCAUUGCUCCCAAGAGGAUUAAUUCAUAAUUCAUUGCUACAUUAUGUGAAGGAAUUACAUUAGAUGAACGGUUUCAAUCCAUAAGAGCUAUUCAUGUAUUGGAUGAACCGUUUCACAUGGCUAUUCAUGUUCUUGUAGUAAUAAGUAUUUAAUAGAAUUGAUGUAUGUUUAAUUUUGUAGUACCUAUAUAUAGAGGUACCUUGGCACCUCUUGGCUGUCCUUUUUGAUUAAUUUGAAUAAUAAGAAAAUCAUUCUCUAUUUCUAUACUUCUUUCUCUAAUAUUUCAAUUCUUAUUAUAGUAGUUCAUUAUUUUUUUAGUUUUACAACACGUUAUCAGCACGAGUCUCUAUUUUUGAAUAAAAAACUGAAAAUGGAGCCUAUACCUUAAAAAAAGCAAAAAAUGUGAUUCUGCUGAAAUUCUGCAUGUAUUUUUCCGGCAACUUCUAUCUACUUAUUGAGAAAUGGAUGCCAAAUAUUUGGGAUUAAAUAAUGGUGAUGAUGACAUUUGUCUCAUUGAUUGUACUACUACGCACACUAUAUUGAAAAAAAAAAUUCUUGUAUGAAAAUGGGAGAGACAAAUGUUAAUACCAUAAGUGGUAGUGCAAAAUUGAUUGAAAGUUCUGGAAGAGCCACUCUAUUUCUUCCUGAAAGGACUAAAAUUGUCGUAAAUAAUGCACUACUAUCUCUCAAGUCUUGAAGAAAUUUAUUCAGUUUUAAAGAUAUCUGCGAAAAAUGGAUAUCAUAUCGGGACAAUAAAUGAGACAAAUGGAGAAUUUUUAUUAAUCACAAAUAUCAUUUCUGAGCAGAAAUACGUAGUAGAAAAAUUACCUUCUUUUUCUUCUGGCUUAUAUUAUGCACAAAUUAGUGCAAUUGAAAUUUAUCACCUAGGAGACCAGAAUUCUACUCAUCCCAAUAAUUUUAUGAUUUGGUAUGAUUGUCUCGAAAAUCCUAGAUAUAUAAUGAUGAGGCAAAUAAUUGAGAAUUCACAUGGUCACUCAUUGAAAAAUCAAAAGAUAUUAAAAGCAAAUAAAUUCUCUUGUGUUGCUUGUUCCCACGGAAAAUUAAUUAUUAGACCAUCACCAGUAAAAGUUGGGACUGAAUCCUCUACAUUUCUAGAACGAAUUCAUGAUGAUAUAUGUGGACUUGUAGAUCCACCAUGUGGACCAUUUCGAUAUUUUAUGGUGCUAAUUAAUGCAUUAACUAGAUGAUCACAUGUAUGUUUAUUAUCUACUCGCAACUUGGCGUUUGCGAGAUUGUUUGCUCAAAUAAUUAAAUUGCGAGCACAAUUUUCAAACUAUCCAAUAAAGAAAAUUCAUCUAGAUAAUGCUGGUGAAUAUUCGUCACAUGCUUUUGACGAUUAUUGCAUGUCCAUUGGAAUAACUGUUGAACAUCCUGUAACUUAUGUUCACAUUCAAAAUGGUUUAGCCGAAUCAUUUAUUAAAUGGCUAUAAUUAAUUACUAGACCAUUGUUGAUGAGAUCUAAACUUCCUUCAUUUGCUUGGGAACAUGCUAUAUUACAUGUAGCAAUACUUGUGAGAAUUAGAUCGACAAGUUAUCAUACUUAUUUUCCCCUAUAAUUAACUUUUGUUUUUGAGUCCAAUAUUUCUCAUUUACGAAUAUUUGGUUGUUCGAUUUAUGUUCUAAUUAUACCGUCCCAACAUCGUAAAUUAGACCCGCAAAGAAGAUUGGGGAUAUAUGUUGAGUAUGAAUCACCUUUAAUUAUUAAGUAUAUGGAACCAUUGACAGGUGAUUUAUUUACUGCGAGAUUUGCAGAUUGUCAUUUUGAUGAAUCACAUUUUUCGACAUUAGGGGGAGAUAAAAAUCAACCGAAAAAGAAAAUCACUUGAAAAAUAUCUUUGAAUUUCCUCGAUUCUCAUACCAAAGAAUGUGAACUAGAAGUUCAAAAGAUUAUACAUUUGCAAAAAAUUACAAAUCAAUUACCGGACGCAUUUAAUGACUCCAGAAAAGUUACUAAAUCACAUAUUCCUAUUGCAAAUGCUCCGAUUAAAUUAAUGUCUUUGAAGGACAAAUUACAAAUGUUAACGAGUCUAAAGCGUACCUAAAGCGUGGAAGACCUCUUGGUUCCAAAGAUAAAAAUUCUCGAAAGAAAAGAGGAGUAGAUGAAUCAACAAUUAGUGACAAAAUUCAACUUCCUGAAGAGGUCGCUCCUAAAGAGCCAAUUCUUGAAGAGAAUGAAAUUAUAGAAAAUUCAUUAAAUUUUGUCAUUUCAGGAAAAAGUUAGAAUCGAAAAGAAAUAAUUAUUGAUAGUAUUUUUGCAUAUAAUAUACCACUUGAUAUUAUGGUAGAGAAUAAGGAUCACGAGCCUAGAUAGGUUGAUGAAUGUCGACGUAGAAAUAAUUGGGCAAAAUGGAAAGAUGUGAUCCAAUCUGAAUUGAACUCACUGGUUAAAAGAAAAGUUUUUGGACCUGUAGUCCAAACACCUGAAGGUGUAAAGCCAGUAGGAUAUAAAUGGAUAUUUGUGAAAAAAAAAAUGAGAAAAAUGAAAUCGUGAGGUAUAAAGCAAGACUUCUAGCCCAAGAAUUUUCACAAAGGCUUGGAUUUGAUUAUGAUUACACGUAUUCACCUGUAGUGGAUGCUAUCACAUUUAGAUAUCUUGUGAGUUUUGCAGUACAUGAAAAAUCAGAUAUGCAUCUAAUGGACGUCGUUACUGCAUAUUUAUAUGAAAAUCUUGAUAAUGAUAUUUAUAUGAGAAUCCCCGAAGGAUUCAACAUGCCUGAAGCAUACAAAUCAAAUCCUAAAGAUAUUUAUUCUAUUAAAUUACAAAGAUUUUUGUAUGGGCUUAAACAAUCUGGACGUAUGUGGUACUGCCUCAAUGAAUGUUUAACUAAAGAAGGCCAUACCAAUGAUCCAAUAUAUCCAUGUGUCUUUAUCAAGAAAAAUGGAUCAAAUUUUGUGAUAAUUGUUAUAUAUGUUGAUGAUUUAAAUCUGAUUGAAACUCUUGAAGAGAUUAGUGUUGAAUAUUUGAAGAAGAAAUUUGAGAUCAAAGAUUUUGGAAAAACAAAAUUCUGCCUUAGUUUACAAAUUAAGCAUUUGAAAAGUGAAAUUUUUGUCCACUAAACUGCUUAUACCCCGGAAGGUAUUAUAGCAGUUUUAUAUGGAUAAGGCACAUACAUUAAGUACCCCAAUGGUCAGAUCAUUAGAUCCUAAUAAGGAUCCUUUUAGACUGCGAGAGGAAGAUGAAGAGAUACUUGGUCCUAAAGUACCAUAUCCCAAUACAAUUGGUGCACUAAUAUAUCUUACUAAUUGUAGAAGACCUGAUAUAUCAUUUGCAAUAAAUUUAUUAGCAAGAUUUAGUUCCUCGCCCACAAGACGACAUUAGAAUGGUAUUAAACAUAUUUUUCGUUAUCUCCAAGGAACAAUUGAUCUUGGUUUAUUUUAUUCAAAUAAAUCUAAGCUUGAAUUGCAUGAUUAUGCUAAUGCUGGAUAUUUAUCUGACCGGUAUAAAGCAAGAUCUCAGACUGGUUAUCUAUUUAUACAUGGAGGUACAGCCAUUUCUUUGCGAUCUACAAAGCAAUCGUUAGCCGCCACUUCAUCGAAUCAUGCUGAAAUAAUAGCAAUUCAUGAGGCUAGUCGAGAAUGUGUUUGGUUAAGAUCAAUGACCCACUAUAUCCGUAAGAGUUGUGGGUUAUCCUCCGAAAAAGAAAAUCCUCCAACUAUAUUAUAUGAAGAUAAUGUAGCUUAUAUAACUUAAUUGAAAGGAGAAUAUAUUAAAGGAGAUAGAACAAAACAUAUUUCACAAAAAUUCUUUUGUACUCAUGAUUUACAAAAGAAUGGUGAAAUUUAUGUGCAACAAAUCCGAUCAGAUAAUAAUUUGACAGAUUUAUUUACCAAUGCAUUGCCAACUGUAAUAUUUGAGAAAUUGAUGAAGAAUAUUGGAAUGCGACAAUUAUAAGAUCUCAAAUGAUAUUUGCAUCAGGGGAAGAAAUCAAUACACAAAAAUAGUGUACUAUUUUUCCAUCACUAGGGUUUUCGUCCCAUUGGAUUUUUUCCUAAUAAGGUUUUAAUGAGGCAUAUUCUUUAUGUAAUGGACAUCCAAUGGGGAGUGUUAUGAAACAACUAAAAGUGUGGAUGCCCAUUUGUAUUCUCAAGAAGAUCAAUUCAUAAUUCAUUGCUCCCAAGACGAUUAAUUCAUAAUUCAUUGCUACAUUAUGUAAAGGAAUUACAUUGGAUGAACGGUUUCAAUCCAUAAGAGUUAUUCAUGUAUUGGAUGAACCAUUUCAUAUGGCUAUUUAUGUUCUUGUAGUAAUGAGUGUUUAAUAGAAUUGAUGUACGUUUAAUUUUGUAGUACCUAUAUAUAGAGGUAUCUUGGCACCUCUUUAGUGUACUUUUUGAUUAGUUGGAAUAAUAAAAAAAUCAUUCUCCAUUUCUGUACUACUUUCUCUAAUAUUUCAAUUCCAAUUAUAGCAGUUCAUUUUUUUUUUUGGGUUUACAACAUUACUCAAAGAAGAGAGUUAUUGGACUAUAUGUUUAUUGACCUCUACUAACUUAUUUAAGGUCAUUUCAUAUCACUAUCCAAAGAAAAAUUCUUGGGCGUUAACAUUUUUCUUACAUGCCAAGACUAUUAAUGAAAGUUGACCCAAAUCUCUCUCUCUCUUUCUCUCAAUUCUUAGGACUGAUGCCAAUUCUUACCAUUUAGAAAGAAAAAUUAGAUUGUUUAUAUAUAUGAUGAGUUCCCUCUAAGUCAUGGUUAAGAAAAAUUCUUAGUUUUAUGAAAUGUGAAUUUCCUUUUCGUUGUCUUUAUUCAUUAGUAUUAUUGGGGUUAUUGUAUUAUGAUUGCAAUGCACAGAUACAUGGAUUUUUGACAUUUUUUUUCUCAUUUUUUCUUUUUAAUCGACUCUGACUAUGUCUCAAACUCGAGACAUCAAACCUGGACACGACUUUUGUCCAAAAUGCUUGUAAAAAAUCAGAAGAAUAAUUUUGGACCUUAUUAUUUAAUAAUGGUACGAUUAUGAGAGUCAUUCCAGGUUAAUUAUCAAACUUGUAACUUGAAAAUAAUGUCGACAUCAUGUCAUUAUUAUUUUCUAGUUUCAUAGAAAAAUGAAGUAUUCUCCAACUCGACAUUAUCAUAUUAUUCUCAAUUGGCAGCUCAUGUGAGAAAGACAAGAAAUUCACAAUCAACUGGCCAAGAGAGUGCCAACAAAGAAAGCACUAAAUGGCUUAAACAAAGCAUGCAAAUUUGCUUAGCACUUAAACAAUAGACACCUAAAUCAACCAUGUCACUGUCUUGCCAAAAAAGGGCAUUAAAGUAAAAACAACUCAUGCCUAACACAGGUAACAAACUUCAGCACCUUCACUUCACCGCCACGUCAUCAACAACAUUUGCAAAUUUCCAAGGAAGUCCACGCACUAAAGGUGCCCAUGCCCUUAGGGGACCUCAGGUUAGUGUUCUUAACAUCAACUCCUGUCUUUAUAUUCUUAGGAAAUAUUGAAAUUAAACAUUAUCACUAAUCCUGAUUUCCUUAUGCUAUAUUUGUACACAAUUUGGCAACAAGGUUGUCCUUUUUUGGGCCAAAUUGGACAAGUAAAAAAAAGAAAAUUAAAAGGUUUAUCUGCAAACUGUAGUUCGGCCUGCCUCUUUUUUUUUUUUUUUUGGGGAUAAGAUCGUCAUGUAUCAAUAUUUCUGUACUUAGCAUUGGCUUCUUCUCGCCUGAAGAACACACGAACCACCGGAUGAAAGUGGUGAAUGAAAGUGCACUUAACCCUUUUAAUUUUUCAAAACAAUGCUUUUAGAAAAAAUAAUAAAGACUUUUUUGAAUUUAAUUUUAGAGAAGAAGAAUUUUAAACUUUUUUGAAUUUAAUCUUACAGAAGAAGAAGUUUAAAAUGUACUUUAAUUUUCACAACUGAUGAUGAGAAUAGCAAAAUGUAUACGGACGGUGACAAAAGUGCCGUCUUAUCCUUUUGCUGACGGCCCGUUUUCCAAUGAGAGGAUGCCUCUGCUUCGUAUUUUAUCCAUAUUGAUAUAUAUUCUUUUCUGUCCCCCUAACUAUUAAAUGUGAAAGGUUGCCCACCAAAUUUGACGAAACCGUUUAUCCUAAUUGAUUAUUAUCCAUAGGGCAUAACUUUAAUAUUCUUCUUCCAACCCGUCCGUCAAUGACCACUAACCACCUCUAAUCUAUUCUCAAAUUUUAAUGAAAUUGCGCAAUUAGUUUUCAUUUCUCACUUUUAUUUCAAAUUUGGUCUCAAUUUAAUGUGAAUCCCAAUAAAUAAGACCGGAGUUGAAAUCAAAGAACGUAUUUCAAUCACCAUCGGAUAAAUUCUUCAUGUCUAGUUUUGUCCUUGAGAUGCAUAGAAAAUGUAAGCUGAUCUUGCAGUCUACGAGAAAAACGAAGUCUAAGAGAAUAAUUUUGUCAAAACUUGACAAUGGAAUGAACCGGUGGUCGCUGGUUGGCAGCUGCUAGAAGUCAUAGCAGUUUUAAAACAUAAUUGCAGCAAGUAAAAGAUUAAAACUACGUUGUGUACUGUUAACGACUUACAUUGACAAAAUGGUUAAGGACAGAGUUGAAAGAUGAAUCAAACUGUUCGACAUUCGAUUCGAAUUUGACUUGGUAAAAACUUAUUCCAAUUUGAUUUGUCAGCUAGUCAAAUCUAAUUUAAAUAGUAUUUAACUUUGAAACUUGAUAAAAAGUUUGUUCAAACUCAGUUUACUAAAUAAACAAGUCAAAUUUGAACAAAAUUUCAAACUCAUUAAAAUAAUUAAAUACGUUUGAAUACUAGGAUAUUCGAUUUAAUUAAAUGCGAUUGCACCCCUAAUUAAAGCAUGUACUUUUUUUAUAAAUUUAGGAAUCAACAUUAUACAUUUAAUAGCUAGCUAGAGGGUCAAAAAGUUAAUUGCCUUAAAAUUCUUUUAGCAGCCAUAAAGUAUAGUUGGAGGGAUUCCCUUGAAAUUGAUUAGAUUCUUCUAUGUGACUAAAGAAUUUCGGGUGUGACGUAUUACUAGUCCUACCCUAAAAAAAAUGGUAUUACUAGUCCUUUUUUUCUUUUUUAGCGUGCCCCCGCCGUGGAGUGUGGGGAGGGUGGUCUGUGCGAGAAUUCUAGAUGGGGUACAAGGUGCCAAAGUUCACCUUAUUCAAAGUAAACAACCUUCCAUCUCAGAUGUUGAAUUUCCUGGCAAUUGCGUAUAUAUUACAAUCUUUUACCAUGACUUUAGAGGACAGCUAAAUUUGCUUGCUAUUAAAUAAUAUUUUCGGUAGUCUAUAAAUACUCUUGGUCCUAACUGCUUCUUGCACCACAUAAUUCUUUCAAGAACUACCAAAACCUUCUUGAAAUCCCUCUUUUUCCUUUUAGUUCAUUUCCAAGAAACAAAUUGAACCAUCAUGGCCCCUGUCACUUCCAGUUAUGAGGUCACCUGCUCAAUCCCUCCUGCAAGGUUGUUCAAGGCCACCAUCCUUGAAGAGAAGCAUCUUCACAAGAUCUUGCCACAGGGCGUUAAGAGUGUCGAAAUCCUUGAAGGAGAUGGUGGAGUUGGCACAAUUAAGUUGACCACAUUUGUUGAAGGUAAGAUAUCAAUACAAAGUGAUUAUGUUCACAAAUUUGAAGUCUUCAAAUUGCUCACUUUUUUUUUCUUUUAUUUGGGAAAAGCUAAUGACUUUUUUUUUUUUUUUUGGUUGGGUUAAAUAUUUAGGUGGCGAGCUUAAGACUGCCAAACAGAAAGUUGAUGGAAUUGACAAAGAAAAAUUUACAUACAGUUAUACUGUACUUGAAGCUGAUGGAUUUAACGAUGUAAUCGAGAAAAUCUGUUGUGUCAUCAAAUUUGAACCCUCUGCUGAUGGAGGUUCAAUCUGCAAAACCACUAAUACAUACUACCCCAAAGGUGGUGCUCAGAUCAGUGAGGAACACGUCAAGGGAGGAAAAGAGAAGGGUUUGGGAAUGGUUAAGGCUGUUGAGGCUUACCUCCACGCAAAUCCUACUGCCUACAACUAAUUAUAAUGAAUGCUACUGAAGGACUCUUCGACAUAUUUUCUUCAAGAUUGAAGUAUAAAC
This 86896-nucleotide long non-coding RNA is filed under the name Coffea arabica (coffee). Its description in RNAcentral is "long non-coding RNA (CARA_LNC002175)". The record is from RNAcentral. Lineage: Eukaryota; Viridiplantae; Streptophyta; Magnoliopsida; Gentianales; Rubiaceae.